Molecule: RNA transcript, 65187 nt
Organism: Anolis carolinensis (green anole)
Lineage: Eukaryota; Metazoa; Chordata; Lepidosauria; Squamata; Anolidae
Gene: kcnip1
Gene name: potassium voltage-gated channel interacting protein 1
Exons: 2
Source: RefSeq, a predicted model, not a curated record
GGGGGCAAUGUUCCUGGUGACAUCUGAAGAAUUUCUAAAAAGCUUUAGUUACAGCCUCAAUGAACAAUUUACAAGAGAAGAACAAAACUGCCAAAUACAAUUGUAAUGGAGAAAUGUAAAGAAGGGACGAUGGAACAUAGGAGAUAUGAUAUGGAGCUGGCUUAUUUUGUUUUUGCGGGAAAGUAAAUAAGAGGGGAUUUUUAUUUCAAGAUACUUCAGAUUGAAGAGGAAGGUACUUUCAAACAUUAGCUUUACAUGCAUACGUACACAAACACACCUACAUGCACAAACACAAAGAGAAAGCGAGAGCAUUUUCCAAACUGCCAUCAAUAAACCUGCCUGCAACAUAUCUGGGUAUACAUUUUAAAAGAUGAAAUUGCCUGCUGUACAUUUUGUAUGUCACUGAAAGCUUACCAAAUUAUUUUAAGUCUGGCAACCUUGCCCUAUGAGGAGUGGACCAAGGAGCUCUUAAAGUUAAAACAGGACAUAUUAGCCAUGAUAAAAUAUUUGAAAGUCUGUCAUAUUGAAAUGGAGCCAGCAAGUUGUCUGCUGCUGUAGAGACUAGGACAUGAACCAAGUGAUUCAAACCAAAGGAAAACAGAUUCCACCUAAACAUCAGGAAAAACUUCUUGAUGUUCAGAGUUGUUUCUUCCAGCUCGAUGAUUCUAUUCUAUAUUUUACAAUGGUAGGAACAGACAGAAUGUAUGUUGCAGAGCAAACUGACCAUAACCCUAGAAAACCACUACAUGUGCGGGCCUGCUCUAAAUUCCUUUGGUUUUACAUUCAGUUCCAAUACGCUGUGAUAAAUUCAUGCUAAUAAGAAACGGUAGGCUCCAGUUCCAGUGACAGUAUAGGUAGGUCUUUGGAGAAGGAGUAGUGUACAGUGGCAGAAAUAAAUUAUGUGUUGCUUUCUACAAGUGCUGGGUGAUCUCUUUUCGAGAGUGUUAGCUAUCUCUAGAGCUGGUUGCUGCAAUGUAACACUACCUUUGUCAAAUUGGUUAGCUAAGCUGCAAGCUAAUGGAUGGCAAGGUCACUAGGGCAGUCCUUUGACACUCUGGCAGAGAGAUGAAAAUUAUUCAUCUUUACACAGCUUGAGCAUUUCAUCCUCAGGGAAAUGCUUAAAGGUGAUAUGACUGCUUGCCCUUCACACUUUUGUAACUGCCCGGGGUUAACAGUAAAUUCUACCAGCUACUUCACAAGAGGUUUGUCACCUAGGAUCAUACUAAAUCAUUAGUUUUUUAAGGAUUAUUUUUAUUAUCUCAUGCCCAAUCCCUCGGUCUAGGUACACAGUGUUGUGGGAUAUCUUUUUCAUGGGAUAGCUAUUCAAAAGUUUGCAACAUACAGCUGGUAACUUUACUUUAAAACUGUAGGGAUUCAUAUGUUCGGUUUUUCAGUCUACACAAUGUUUCAUUUCUAAAUUGACUUGUUCACAGAAAUAUUUCCAAAACACAAUGAAACAAAAUAUUUUCUCUCUCUUUCUCUCCCCUUAUCUGUUUAAAGUGACAAAAACCAGGAGAUAGCAACUGGAAUCACAGCUAACUGAAAUCAUGAUGUAGGAGUAGAUAAUUGUUGCCCCCCCCCCCUCCAGUUAUUUGGAAUUGCGAUUCCCAUCUGGACCCAUCACUGCCUAUGCCAGUUAGGUCUCAUCAUUGUGGGCUGAUUAUGUCUGGAGACCUACAGCUGUCCAUCCCAGUUACAAGACAUAAUCUUAGGAAGCUGGUCUCUUCAUUACAAAAUAGUCUUCAAUCAGGAUUAUUUUUCAGCCAAACAUCAGUAUUCAUGAAGAGAAUAGAUGACAAAACAAGUGGUUGUAUCCAUAUUUCAGACAUUCCUGGAUGACAGCUUCCAAUCUGGGAGUGAGCAUGGGAAGUUAAGAUCCCUGAAGUCUGUCUGGGGAAGAAAAAGAACACAACCCGUGUUCCCUACAACUAGCACACUCCACUUAGCCACCCACCUGGAUUUACUCAUUGACGAACACACAGAGGUGGCCAUGCUCUUGCAUCAUGUGCUCCUUGGCAGCUAAUCAGGGUCAGCCAGGAAGAAAAUCUUCAGAAUCUGUUAUCAGAGACUAUGCAAAGAACUGGCAUGCUCCUCCUCCUCCUCCUCCUCCUCCUCCUCCCUAUAUGGCUAAUAAAAUACCUUACAAAAAUCAGGUAGGCAGAUGUAAAAAACAAGAUCAUAGACUUGGAGUCAGUCAAGCAGAGGGACAGGCCUUGCCCUCAUGCCACCUUAAAAUGGCUCCCCCAAAGGAGUGAACCCCCUUUGGUGGCAACCCCAUCCCUGCAGACAUCUUUCUUUUGUUCCACAGCCUCUGGAGGCAAGCAGCUAUUUUUGCUGGGAGUGCAAAUCUUGCAUUCAGUCUGAAAAGAGCCAGUCCUUCACAACAGGAGCUGAGGUCUGAGAUAGCACAUAACAGGCAAACACUGCCUCUUCCUUCCCUGCUGAUGUUCCUUCUGGUUCUUCUGGAUGAUGUUGUUAGCAUCCUAUCAGCAACCCAUCAAGGGUGAAAUUAAUAACAAGAUAUACAUUACAUGUCCGGGAUUUCAAGAAGACUGCCUGACUGUAUAGGAAGACUGCAUUGUUCAACAUUCAUGUCUGUUUACCUUAUAGAGAAUUUAUUUAAUUUUCAUCUUCUUCAAACUGCUCCAAUAGACAUCAUCUCCCUCAUUUCUCUCAAAUCAUAAUCUGGGAAGAAAACAUUGCAAAUACUAGCAUCCUGUCCUUGAGUUUUCUGUGUCUUAGAACAGAUUUGAGGAAUAUUGUUAGAUUGGCUGGCGGUUGCCCUUCUUAAAUACACAAGAAUGCUAUCCAGAAGAUAAAAGCAUUACUCAUUUGAGACAUCUCAUGGUUCCGGACAGUAUUUUGAAAGCUCAUUCUGCCAGUUGUCUUUUAAGUUAAUUAGAAUUCUGUGUAUAAAGUCUGUAAGGACCAAUGCAAUGACAAGAAGGAAUAGCAGCCAACAAUAUUUAAUUCCUGAUCUACAACUGUAAACAUGUGUUUGCUAGAUGAAAAGCAUUUACUUCCUAGAUGAACUUCCAGUUUCUUACUGCAUUCUAAUACAGUUUGGAAAGGUAAUGUAUCAGUCUUUUUUAGUGGUCUAAAACUGAAGAGAAAGGAAUUUCUAGACCAGAAUUUCUCAAACUGCUCCUCCAGAUAUUUUUGACUUCAACUCCCACAAUUCUUAACAGCUAGUAAGCUAGGUGGGGUUUCUGGGAGCUGAAGUCCAAAAUACCUGGAGGAGCACAGUUUGAGAAAUACUGCUCAAGAGAUACAAUUCAAUGAAGCCAUCAAUGGGAGCUGUUGAUUUCAGUAUCAAUGGAGUAAUUAAAUCUUCAAAACACAUCCUAUGUUGUAAUGUAAAAUAUCAGUGGUGACUCUCUACAGAAGGCAUCAUUUCUUUUCAAGAUAUUUGGUACUUCUGAAGCAAAUUGGUUGUGCAGAAUAUUGACCAGGUUAUAAUCAAUUCAACACCUCCAAGUUUCAUUGAUUUCCAUCUCAGUUACAGCAUUUACAAGACAUGCUUCCAGAAAGGAUUGGUCAGUUUUCCAUCAGUGGAAAAAAGAACUGAUAUUGAAGACAGGAAGUUUCUGACAGCUGUACCGAAAGAUUUGUCUUCCUGAGUAAUGAAUAAACAUAGGAGUAUGAGCCAUGCAGGAAACAUCUUGCAGUUGAAGUUACAGAUCUGUGUAAUGGCUGUUAGGCAGAGCAUUCGUUUGCUUUACAAUUGUCUUUGCUACUUUCUUUUUUGAACUGACAGUUAUAUUGAUACAUAAAUGAUAUGUGCAAUUUUUUCUGUGUAGUAAUGUAUGGAAAACUCAGUUAUUGGAGUAAGCUUAACUGGCCCUGAUGAGCUCUUAUUAUUUAACACUAUUGAAUUUGAGUAAUAGUCAACUCUACUUUAUAAAUGGUACAUAAUAGCAAGAAGUAUGAGCCUUCUAAGACAUUUGAGAGAUUAGUGGGGAAGCUAUAAUAGCCCUUAAGACAGUUUGCUAGGAAUAAUGCUCUUCAGAACUUUCUCUACUUACCUCAUAGUUGCCUUGCUGUCAAGAGCAUGUGCUCCCCUCCAUGCCAGUGAAUUGUUUAGUGGCAAUUUGCUUCUAAAAUAUUUACUUGCAUUCAUCAAGAAAGUGGCUAUGGCAACCAUACUGUGUGCCAACAGAUUGGAAACACGAUCCCACUGUGGCAAUGUUUUGUUAGUUAAGAAUAUUUAAAACCAUCUAGAUGAGACAGAAAAAUGAAAUGUGUUUUAUCCUUGUGCCUGACCUUUUUACAUAUAAAAUGGGCUUACUGUUAUCUAUUUUUUAUUUUUAUAAUAAAUGGACUGAUUGUUCAGUAGGAAACUAUUCUAUCCCUCCUGCUGUGCUAUACUCAAAUAAUGUUUUCUCAUCACUAAUUUUCUUUUGGGAUUAGAACUGGAACCAUGCUGUGUUUCCUAAGCAUUUUGAGAGGAAGCAGUGGUGUUGAAAACAUGAUCUGAUGCAAUUUAAAGUGCAGAUGCAUCUUUUUAGUGCUGAUUUCUGUAGGGAUUUUAUUCUCUAGAGGUAAUAAUAAUAAUAAUUUUAUUUCUUACCUGCCUCAUGGCUCAAGGUGGGUCACAGCACAGUCAAACACACAAACAUCACAAAAAAUCCUUGAAAAACACAUACUAAAAUAUUUCUAUGUAAUAUAUUUUAAAUACACAGGACAGAGAUUUAAACACAGGGUACGAGUUUAAAAUUCAUGCUUAAUACUGGCUGGGUAGGCCUGCCAGAAAACAUAGGUCUUUUAGCCAAAAAUGGUGAAUCAUAGGACUUGUGUUCUUACAAAAUUUGGAAGUCCCAUCAUUUGUUGAUGUCUAGUUUAUGAUUUCCAAGAUACAGGCUUGUGUAGUGACUGUUGUCACAAACCUUUGAACUUUCACAGAGGAAGUAAAGGUUGACAUUUAUCUAACUUAACAGGAUACGACAACUCAAUUAAUGGUAUUAUUUUUGAAAUAUCAAACCAAAUCUUCAAAGCAAAGACUUCCUUCUUCAUAUUAAUUCUUGCUCUGAACCCCAAGGCAGGAUUUGUUGUAAAUACUUCAGAGUGUUAAUUGAAAUGGAGUUCAUAAUAAUUAGGUUAGCUUUGGCCAGUCAAAAGUGAUUUCGUAUCUCAUUUUAAAUGGCCUUGUUUACUAUAGGCAAGAGAGAGAACAUUAGUCAAAUGUUCAGCAUAUGUCAGUAAUUUAUUUUAAAAAAUAGGCUUUGUAACAAGAUGUUUCACAAUGUCUAGCAGAAAAACAAAUAUGCAACUCACUCGGAAGCAUAAUGACACUACCUUUAGAACUCCCUCCCCACUGAGAUUAAAACUGUCCCUUCCCUCUUAUCUUUCAAGAACCAGUUAAAGACCUACCUGUUCAAGCAAGCUUUUGAUGAGGGAAUUCAGUUGCUAAUGAUAUCAAGGUCAAUUUGCACUGAGCUUAGCAAAAUGUAUUAUUAUAUUGAUGUGUCUCCACAAUAAUUGUAAUUGGUUUUAAAUGUUUUUUAAUUCUAAAUAUUUAUAUCUUAUUUCUGAAUGUUGUUAUGCUUUGUGUAAUUUUUGUCUUGUGUUUUAUGUUAAAUGUGCUUUGAUAUGUAUUAUAUUAUGUUGUGAGCUGCUUUGGGUCCCAUUAGGGAGAAAAGUGGGAUAUAAGAUUUUUUAUUAUUAAUAAUAUUGUUUCCAAGCCAAGAAUGCUCUCCUGACUAGGAUAUAAUUGAAUUUGCAAAACUCCGGAUUAAAAUGUGUGUAAGUAACAUUCAAACUUUGGUUUUAAGCUCUUGUUCAAACAUUGCUUUAGUUGUGGGUAGCCUUGUGUUGUUUUUUUUUUAAUGUUUUGCUGGACAAUCAAGGAUGCAUAAAGCUAUGCUUCCUAUAAUUUUAUAUUUUAUCAUUACAACUUUUCUAGAUCCCAGUGAAAUUAGUUUUGAAUAGGGAUGUGAAUUUAUGAAAACAAGAAACUGAGUCCCUUUUUCUCCAAAGGAGAGGGGGGAAAGGUGUCAUGUUUUUUGCAAUGUGUGCCUAAAGUGAAAUCAAUUUUAGUCAAAAAAUCAACUCAAAAAACUAGGGUCAAAGUGAGUAUUGUACUUCAACUCUUAUCAAAAAAUGGAACUAUCUCCUUCUCUAAGCAGAGCAGUAAAAGGUGAGAGCUUAAUCUGUCCCAGGAGAACCUUUAAAAAGCAAUGAACCCCUCUACACUCUUCACGAUGGCACCACUUCUUGCCUUUUUGAAUGCCUGGGUCAGUAAAUGACAAUAGCACCUGGCCCCCUGAGGCACCAUUGGUGCUUUGCCAUAUCUACAAAUGAGCCAAAAAUUUUCCGUCAGCUUAUGUGAUGACUCAUGGGCCAUGUAGUCCCGUUCCUAGUACUGUUGUGACAGAUGAAGAGGAAAACUUGGGUUUCCCACCGUUUCUGCCAGAUUUGGAGCCCUUGCAGCUGCAGGAUGUUUGCCCACAAGAAGUCAGACAAACAAGCCUUGAGGAGAAAUCUCCCCCAUUUUCUCGCCACCUUUAUUAUAAUCAAGAUAGACACGCUUGGGAGGCGACUCGCCGAAGCGCCCGGAUAGCUGCCAGACAAUUAGAUGAUUAAGUCUGUUUCCCUUGGGAAAGUUUAAGGAGUCCUGCAUCUGGACAGUAUAGGUUUCGGUUCUUGUUCCCCAGAGAAAGUGUGCUUUGGCGGGAAAACAAGAUCCUAUAUAGAUGUUUGGCCACAAAGGAUUCCUUGCGGAGUCAAUUCGUCAGCUCGUGGAGUGAGAUCGUGUGUAGACUUCGUACCCCAGUUCCCAGCUCCUGAACCAAGUUUCCAGCCCUGCCUUGUUCCACGGAUUUCUAUGGCCUCAGUUCUUGUUCCACGAUUGUCUUGUUUCAAGUUGGACCUUGCCAAGUCUCAAGUCUUGCCCUGCCUUGCGUUUUAAACCACGGACCCUGUUUCUCGGAUUCCAGCCUUGUUUUCCUCUCCUUCGGAUUUACCUUGAGCCUCAAAGACUAUGGACAGUUCCCCACACUAUUGCUUGCUAAAUAGUGUGUGUUUCGGUGAAGUGGAUUAUAACUUUGGGCUUUAAUAUCAUAUAUUGGACAUUGUUUUCCUGGACUAUAUUUGACCUUUCUUGAAAGGUCUAUUUCUGAACUAUAUUCUACACUUGUUUUUAUUGACUUUAUAUAUUCCCUUAAUAAAGAUAUUAGAUAGAUUCUGGCCUCUGCGCGUGGUUAUUGGUGCUCUGCAGCCUGGGUCCUGACAGUUUGACUCCGCCACCUUAAGCACCAAUUAACCUAGGCCAGAAUGUCUACUGGAACCAGGGCGGAAGCCCAACCACUCAGCUAUACCAUCUCCAAGGAUGAAGUGGACAGAAUCCGAGAUAUGCUCCAUACGCAGGAGGGAGAAAUACGGGGCUUGAAGGAACGCGGAAUCCGUCUCCCUGCCCUGGCAUUGCCAACCAAGUUUUCUGGAGAAGCUUCCAAGGUUCAUGUUUUCCGUCGCCAAUGCCAGGCCUAUCUAGAAGCCCGUCAUGCCGAGUUUCCCCAAGAAGACAUCAAGGUAGCGUGGAUCUACAGUCUCCUAGACGGGCCAGCGGCCAACUGGGCGACGGCGCUAUUUGAUGAAGCCUCCCCACACCUAAGUUCCGCGCAAAACUUCCUGGAUCACCUUAAGGCGACUUGGGGAAUCGAGGACAAUUUAGAGGCGGCCGGCCACAAACUCCGGCGCCUUCUCCAAGGCCCAUGUCCCAGUACAUAGCCGAGUUCCGAGUGCUGGCCCAAAACACCGGCUGGAAUGACGUAGCCCUCAGGGGACAGUUUCGGGAGGGUCUCAACAUCGAGAUGUUGGAAGAAAUCUCCAAGGUGGAUCCCCCAAACUCUCUUGAGAGACUUAUUGACCAAUGUUUACGAGCCGAAGUCAUGCUUGCCAACAGAAAACAGUGGCUCCGAGGCCAGAGUGGAAGAGCAGGAGUAAAACCUCCCGCUCCUGCCGGCAUCCAACCACGUCCAAUGUGGAGACCCCCACCACCAGCCCCAUACCCCAGAGGAAGCGAGGAGGUGCCGAUGCAGUUGGGCAAUGUGCGUCCCAGAUUAGAUGUUGCUGAGAAGGCCCGCCGUCAACGUUUAAACCUCUGUUGGUACUGCGGGAACGGGGGCCACUUUGCCAGAGAGUGUCCAGCCAAAGGAAAACCCGCCGCUCGUUUGGCGGCGGCGUCCUCCGUGGAGAAGGAGGCGGCCGAGGCGGCAGGCGCAAAGCCGGCGGGGGAAGCCAGCGACCGGGCGUAGAGAGGCUCGCCAACCUGGUCAAAAACCCCAUUCAAGAGCCGCAAACCGGGGUCCUAUUUCUCCUAGUGGUCACCUUGUGGUCAGCGAAAAAAGGACCCGUCAUGAUCCAUGCCAUGAUAGACUCAGGAGCAACAAACAAUUUCAUCGAUAGAGAGUAUGCCGACUCUCUGGGAUUACAAUAUCAUGAUUUCAAGAACGCCCGGGUGGUGCAAGCCAUAGAUGGCCGUCCCCUAAAGACAGGUCCAGUAAGUCAAUGGUCUGAACCCACCAGAAUGUGGAUAAGGGAACACAUGGAAGAGAUUUCCUUCUUUGUUACCGAGGUUCCCCACUUCCCUGUGAUUUUGGGAAUUCCAUGGCUGACACUCCACGACCCAAAAAUCUCCUGGACCAACAGAGAACUGCAGUUUGAUUCUAAAUAUUGCCAAAACCAUUGUCUUGUAGCCAAGGUCUGCCAUUCCACAGACACUGAACCCAUCAUCACCUUGCCCAAGAAAUACUCAGACUUUUGGGAUGUUUUCAAUGAAAAGGAAGCCGAGAAACUACCCCCGCAUAGGCCCUAUGAUUGUGCCAUUGACUUGGUGGAGGGGGCCCCGAUUCCGCGAGGACACCUCUACUCCCUGACUGAACCAGAGCAGGAAGCUCUCAGGGAGUUCAUAGAGUCAAACCUCCGCAAGGGGUUCAUCAGACCCUCUCAAUCCCCAGCCGCUUCCCCAGUGAUGUUUGUGAAAAAGAAGUCAGGGGACCUACGCUUGGUGGUGGACUAUAGAGCAUUGAACAAUAUCACUAAACGGAACCGCUAUCCCCUGCCUUUGAUCUCGGACCUAUUAGACCGGCUUCGAGGGGCCAAGAUUUACACCAAGCUGGAUCUUCGGGGGGCUUACAAUCUAGUUCGCAUCAGGGAGGGGGACGAGUGGAAAACCGCCUUCCAGACUAAAUUCGGAUUAUUCGAGUCCCUAGUCAUGAAUUACGGUUUAUGUGGAGCUCCAGCAACGUUCCAGCACUUUGUCAAUGAUAUCUUUCAAGAUUAUUUAGAUCGAUUCUUGAUCAUAUACUUGGACGGUUUUUUGGUGUUUUCUAGAUCACAAUCAGAACAUGAGAAACACGUCAGAAUGGUGUUACAACGAUUGCGGGAUCAUGGACUAUAUGCCAAGUUGGAAAAAUGCGCUUUUGAUCUACAAGAGGUAGAAUUCCUGGGAUACCGUGUCUCGCCACAAGGGCUCACCAUGGACCCGGCAAAGGUUUCAACAGUAUUGGAAUGGCGGGCGCCAACCAACAAGAAAGAGGUGCAGCGUUUCUUGGGGUUCGCGAACUACUACCGCAAGUUCAUUCCAGACUUUGCCCGCUGGUCUGAUCCAAUCACCAGCUGCAUCCGUGGAAAACAGCCCUUCCGCUGGACGGAGCAAGCAGAGGAAGGAUUCCAGCAACUAAAGAAGCUAUUCACGUCCCAGCCAAUUUUACAGCACCCUGAUCCUAAGACCCCUUUUGUUGUGCAGGCUGACGCCUCCGAUGUGGCAAUCGGGGCUGUACUCAUGCAACCAGUGGGAGAACAUCUUCACCCUUGUGCCUUUUACUCCCGUCAACUAACAGCCCCAGAGAGGAAUUACACUAUUUGGGAAAAGGAACUUUUGGCCAUAAAGGCAGCCUUUGAAAAUUGGAGACAUUGGUUAGAAGGGGCCAAAUUUCCCAUUGAGGUUCAUACUGACCAUCGUAAUUUGGAACAUCUAAGAACUGCCCGCAAGUUAAAUCAAAGGCAGCAGCGCUGGGCUUUGUUUUUUGAGCGUUUUAACUUCCAGAUCCAUUAUGUAACCCCUGCUCAGACCAAGCAAGCAGAUGCUCUUUCACGAAAACCAGAGUAUGCCGCAGGGCGCAGAGAGACCUUCGAAUCCCAAUUGCUACAGCCUGAAAACUUUGCCACGCUCACAGUGGGAAACACCAAAUCCACUGCAGUUGAACCAACUCCCUCUACUCCAGGACCCCUUUGUGCUCAAAAAAUUAGAGCCAGUCAACAAGCAGACGCCUGGGCUCAAGAUCAAAUUCGCCAAGGACUACGUUUCCCUUUCUCACUAAGGGAUGGGCUACUAUGCUACAGAAAUCAUGUCUACAUCCCUCCAGGACCUGGCAGAGAAAAGGCACUUCACCUAUGUCAUGACUGCAAGCCAGCAGGACAUUUUCGGCUAUUUAAAACCAUGCAUUUGAUCCUACGAGAUUUCUGGUGGCCCAAGAUCCGUAAGGAUGUGGAGAAAUAUGUCAAUACCUGCCCGGUAUGCCAGCGUUCUAAGACAAGAAAGGAGAAGCCCUCAGGGCUACUGCAUCCCCUUCCUACUCCAUCUCGUCCAUGGGAGAUAAUUUCUGCGGAUUUUAUCACUGACCUACCACCUUCUCUUGGUUUCACCACGAUCCUAGUGGUGGUGGACAUUUUUACCAAGUUGGCCCAUUUCAUUCCCUGCGAUGGCCUUCCCACGGCCAAAGAGACUGCAGAUUUAUUCCUUCAGCAUAUUUUCAGACUACAUGGUUUGCCCAAGAGUUUAGUCACAGACCGUGGAUCUCAAUUCACCUCUCGUUUCUGGAAGGCACUGCAAAAACUAUUGAGCAUAGACUCUCGUUUAUCUUCAGCUCACCAUCCCCAAACGGAUGGGCAAACUGAGCGCACCAAUGCCACUCUGGAACAAUACCUUCGCUGUUAUGUAAACUAUCAGCAGGACAAUUGGGCUUCCCUGUUACCUCUGUCAGAGUUUGCCUACAACAAUGGUGUCCAGGCUUCAACUAAAGAAACCCCGUUCUUUGCAGACUACGGCUUCCAUCCACGUUUCUUUCCCUCUGUCGUUGAAACUUCAGAAGUCCCCGCAGCGGAGGACUGGCUGCAAGAACUCACAGCGGUGCAACAACUAUUGCUCCAGCAACUGGACCAAGCCAAGGAGGACUAUAAACGCCACACUGACAGUCAUCGCCAGCCGGGCCCCGAGAUCAAGGUAGGAGAUCGGGUUCUUCUGUCCACUCGCUUUUUGCCCUCUCAACGCCCCUGCCGAAAGCUAGAUGCUCGUUUCAUUGGUCCCUAUCCAGUGGUGGCGCAACUUAACCCCGUGACUUUCAAACUCCAACUCCCGCGCUCUAUGCGCAUUCAACCAGUGUUUCAUCGCUCCCUGCUCCUUCCGGCGGAUGGUGUGCGCUCUGAUGCAGACCGGCCGGCCCCCACUCCUGUUUUGGUGGACGGGGAGGAGGAAUUCGAGGUUCAGGACAUUUUGGAUUCUCGCUUCCACCGCUGCCGCCUUCAGUAUCUCAUUGACUGGGUGGGUUUUGGACCCGAAGAACGCUCUUGGGAAGACGCUUCCACAGUCCAUGCCCCUGAUUUAGCCCGCCGCUUCCAUCAGGCCUACCCUGCCAAGCCGCGACCCCGCGAAUCGAGGAGAGAGGCCAAGUUUGAGGGGGGCCUUGAGGAGGGGGAUAGUGUGAUGACUCAUGGGCCAUGUAGUCCCGUUCCUAGUACUGUUGUGACAGAUGAAGAGGAAAACUUGGGUUUCCCACCGUUUCUGCCAGAUUUGGAGCCCUUGCAGCUGCAGGAUGUUUGCCCACAAGAAGUCAGACAAACAAGCCUUGAGGAGAAAUCUCCCCCAUUUUCUCGCCGCCUUUAUUAUAAUCAAGAUAGACACGCUCGGGAGGCGACUCGCCGAAGCGCCCGGAUAGCUGCCAGACAAUUAGAUGAUUAAGUCUGUUUCCCUUGGGAAAGUUUAAGGAGUCCUGCAUCUGGACAGUAUAGGUUUCGGUUCUUGUUCCCCAGAGAAAGUGUGCUUUGGCGGGAAAACAAGAUCCUAUAUAGAUGUUUGGCCACAAAGGAUUCCUUGCGGAGUCAAUUCGUCAGCUCGUGGAGUGAGAUCGUGUGUAGACUUCGUACCCCAGUUCCCAGCUCCUGAACCAAGUUUCCAGCCCUGCCUUGUUCCACGGAUUUCUAUGGACUCAGUUCUUGUUCCACGAUUGUCUUGUUUCAAGUUGGACCUUGCCAAGUCUCAAGUCUUGCCCUGCCUUGCGUUUUAAACCACGGACCCUGUUUCUCGGAUUCCAGCCUUGUUUUCCCCUCCUUCGGAUUUACCUUGAGCCUCAAAGACUAUGGACAGUUCCCCACACUAUUGCUUGCUAAAUAGUGUGUGUUUCGGUGAAGUGGAUUAUAACUUUGGGCUUUAAUAUCAUAUAUUGGACAUUGUUUUCCUGGACUAUAUUUGACCUUUCUUGAAAGGUCUAUUUCUGAACUAUAUUCUACACUUGUUUUUAUUGACUUUAUAUAUUCCCUUAAUAAAGAUAUUAGAUAGAUUCUGGCCUCUGCGCGUGGUUAUUGGUGCUCUGCAGCCUGGGUCCUGACAGCUUAUAAAUAGAGUCAGCUUAUACAUGACUAUAUUCAUUACUUUAAUCAUUUGGGGAAGGGGGGAAAGGUUAAGAAUCCCGAGAAUUAACAUGUUCACUUUACAGAUAUCUCCAGCUAAAAGAAAUUGUAUGUUCCUGCUGAAACAGUUGCCCCAUCUCAAGAAUUCAGUUAAAGCUUGUUCAUGUAUUUAAUCAGUUGUGUCUGGUGCUUCUGCUCAGGGGCGGCUCAAGGCAUACGCAAAGUACAUGGUUGCAAAAGGCACCUCUAGAGGGCGCCGCGCUGCUCAGGGUCAGGGCCGGAGGGUCAGGGCCUCACCCGUUAGAGGGACGGAGGGAGGCUGUGCCGCAGCGGAAGAAGAGCCCGGCCCCUCCCCUUCUCCCUCCUUCCCUUCGUGGUCCCGUCGGCCUGGGCUCCUGUGAGCCCGGGAUAAGUGCCUAAUUUGGCCACUGCUGCCUCCUCCUCCUUCUCCCCAGCCUCUCUUGUGUUGCUCUUCCCUCCCACUGGGGUUCCUUUCCCACUGCUGCAACCCUCUCUGCCGUCCCAUUCCCUCCUCCCCUUUCCCUCCCCUUCCCUCUUCUCUCUCCCUCUGCCUCUCUUGUGGCACCUGCUUCUGCUUGUUUUUCUCGGUGGAGGAAUUUGGGCCGCAGCUGCUGCUGCUGCCUGGGGCCGUGUGUCCCUCAUGGCGCCCUGUGUGCCAUUCGGGACGCCCGUGGAAGGACCCUCAGGGCUCUUCCACACAGCCAUAUAACCCAGAAUAUCAAAGCAGAAUAACCCGCAAUAUCUGCUUUGAACUGGGUUAUCUGAGUCCACACUGCCCUAUAUCCCAGUUCAAUGUUUGGUGCUAAAAUCAUAAAUAUAGUAAUUUCUACAUAACAUUACCAUGUAUUGAACUGCCUUUUCUGUUGAUUUCUUGUAAAACGUGAUGUUUUGGUGCUUAAUUUGUAAAAUCAUAAUGCAAUUAGAUGUUUAAUAGACUUUUCCUUAAUCCCUCCUUAUUAUCCAACAUUUUCGCUUAUCCAAAGCUUUUAUUUUUCAGUGAUUGGUUUGGGUGUGUGUGUGUAAAGGACUAUGAACGACUAAGGUUCUUUCAGGAAGGGGGAAUCUUUUUAUCCCACCGCUGCCACCAAUUUGUGAAGAUGCAACCACCAAAGACUCAGAGAGGAGACCUUUUACUUUCCCCCCCUUCUUCUUAUUCACUUGAGAUGGUAACACAACUUGGUUUAUAAUAUAUGUGACAGAGGCUUAGAUGUUGGAGGAACAAUAACAAGUUUAUUCAGGCUCAGAGCUUAGUGGUUACAAAUGUUGUUUCUCACUUAGAGGCACUUUUAUUAACAGUUACAAUACUAGAAUGAGGUGAGUCAAACUCCCUAAAGUGUCACUUCUUUUACUUAAAGUAGUUAGAACUUCUUCCUCUGCUACUUUUAAACCGUAGUCACCCCUGUGAUAUACCAUCACAGAUUCUCUGUUCCUUACCAGGACACAGACUACAUUAAAUAAGUCACCAAACUCAUUUUAAACCGACUCAAAAUGAACAAUUGAGUCUCCUUGAUCCCCUCAACCUAGGAUCAAUCUUCCCUGUGCCUCAUCAGAGCACAGACUGAAUCCCUUUUUUUAAAACUCUGCACUUUUUCAAUAAAACGGCAGUUGGCUCCGCCUACUUCUCCAUGGUAACCAGCCUCUGAGUGCUGAGAUGCAAUAACUAUAAUACUUACCCUUUUAAAACACAAACACACAAUUAAACAUAACAUCUGUAAACCAAAAAUUCAUACUUCAUUACAGGGUAGGCACCAAAAUUCUGUUCACUUACCCUUGAAAAUUACCUAGGGCCAGUCCUGCUUCUGCUUUAGUGUGGCAUUUUAUCUACUCUGGGUUUGAGUCUAAACUUCAAAAGACCUAUCCAUAUCCAAGGAAUUGGGAGAGCAGAUUCACCAAUGCACUGAUGUGGGGAGCCAUAAUUUCCUUAAGUGCUGUUUAGUUCUGUUUCUCUUAUAAGUGCAGUAGAAAGUCAAGCUGUUAUCUCCACCCUCUCUUUGUUGUUCUAUGCCAGUGAUGGCGAACCUAUGGCACACAUGCCAGGAAGGGCACACAAUGCCCUCUCUCCUGGCACAUGGGCCAUCAUUUGGCCCAUGCUUGCUGGCCCUCCCAACCCUGCUUGCUUGCUUCCCCAUUUGCCCACUCACUAGCUCCUGCUGCUCACACACUUGCCCGCCCCCCUACUUGCCUGUUUACAUCCCCAUUCGUUUGCUCUCCCAUAAGUACAUACAGCUGCUCUGAGUUCUCCUUGGAGUGAUUAGUGUGGGAUAUAAAUGUAGUAAAUAAAUGUAGUAAAUGAAUAAAUAAAUAAUUUUGGACUUAAGCUCGCCCAAAGUCUGAAAAGACUUGAAGGCGCACAACAACAACAAUCCUAAUUAACCUGACUAUCUCAUUGGCCAGAAGCAGGCCCACACUUCCCAUAGAAAUCCUGAUAGGUUUAUGCUGGUUAAAAUUGUUUUCAUUUUUAAAUAUUGUAUUGUUCUUUCAUUGUUAUUGUCGUUGUUUUGCACUGCAAAUAAGAUAUGUGCAGUGUGCAUAGGAAUUUGUUCGGGUUUUUUCCCCAAAUGAUAAUUCGGCCCCUCAACAGUCUGAAGGAUUGUGGACCGGCCCUUUGCUUUAAAGGUUUGAGGACCCCUGAUGUAGAUGAAUCUUUAUUUAAUACAGAUUCAAUUGUUGGUAACAGUUCUUAAAUAGCUGUUAGAAAAAUCAUGCAGGCAGAUGGAUAUGUUUUCUGAAUGCAGAAUCCUGGGGCUACAAUUAACAUUGUUAUGGAUGAGAAGCUAUGGUGGGGAGUAAUUUGUUUUUCUAAAUAUAUAAAGUGGUUGAUAAAGGAGAAAAUGCUGAAUGAGUCCCAUGUCUUUUGGUUCUAAAUUUUACACAUGGGUUCUGUAAUGACUAGUGAGGUGUGGCUUUUGAGAGAAACUCUUCCCAUAUUCCAAGCACUGAAAUGGUUUCUCCCCUGUGUGAGUUGAUUGAAGACAAGUGAGACUAGAUUUGCAAGUGAAACAUUUCCCACUCCCCCACACACUGAAAGGACUUUUCUCCAGUAUGAGUUGCUAGAUGACAACUGAGGGUUAUUUUUAACCAAACAUCCAUUUUAAUUUUAAUUGAAAUAUUGCAUCUUGCUCAUUUGAUUGGAAAGAAAGACAAAGGACUUGGAACAUCUGGUUUUAAAAUUAAUUUGUUAAUGUUAAAUGGUUGCAAUUGAGAAGUUAAAUCAUUCUCACUAAUCCUAACAAUUCAGAUAGUUUAAUUCAUUAAGUUAAUGUGCUUGUCUCAUUACUUUAAAUGUUAAUUUUAGAAACAGGUCAUGGGAUUAACAAAGAAUAGCAUAGAGAUUUUCAAUGUUGACCCCUAGGGGUCCUUAUUGGUUACUCUAUGCUCAUUUUGAUGUUUUAAAGAUUCAUUUAACAAAAUUGCAUAUUUCUGCAGAUGUAAAAGUUUGUUGCAUCACAGUCAUUGGCUAGGGGAUGUGGGGGCCCAACAAACUGGAAAUUGUCAAAUUAGGAAAGGGUGUUCCAAAGGACUUUCAUCUACAACAUGUUAUCCAAUUGAGUUUGAUUACUGAUCUAUAUCUCCUGUUUUUACACUCUUGCCAACAUGUACUUCAUCUAUUCACUCUUUAAACACAUAGUUGGUAAAAACAAUAAGUAAUGAUGAUAAAGGUUAGUGAGGAAUUAUGUGUUUAUAUCAGCUGGAAUACACUAAUCCAUUACAAGAGCAGUAAUAAAUGUCUGGUUACAAUGAUCAGUCAGGAAGAGCUUGACGAGUAGGAAGAGCAAGCACUCAUUGGUGCCUGCAAUGCAGAGAUCCUCACCUAGUAUUUGAUAUGUAAUGUGAACCCAUAUUCUUCACACCAAAUGUUUAGGUAUCAACAUUUUGUUAGACAGAUGACACCUUCUCCUCCUUCUCUCAGGGCUCUUAGAUGUGGAUGCUGGCUAUUUGGGAGAAGCUAAUUUUGAUUGAAAUAUAAUCAUCAUCAUCAUCAUUUUUAUUUGUAUCCCGCCCAUCUCCCAAGGAGACUUGGGGCAGCUCACAACAUAAAUAAUACAAUAAAAUACAAUACAACAUGCUACAUGGAGUGGGAUAAACAGUUAAUAUUGCCAGAUAUUGCCAGAUUCCUUUGUAUCAGCCACCUUUGUUUCCAAAGUAGAGACCCAACAAAAACCUUGUUUCUGAGGAUUCCAGUCUCAUUGAGACCUAAUCAGACCAUAAGGAGUCCCUUGUAAGUUGGAGGCAAACCUGUCACUGUGACAUAUUUCUCUGAACACACACAUCCCUAAAUAAUAGUCUUUAAGGCCUUCCAAACAAAACCUUUGUAAGUAUAAAAUUAGAAUACAUGCAAUCUAUGGUGGCACAGUGUGUUAAAGCGCUGAGCGACUGAACUUGCAGACCAAAAGGUCCCAGGUUCAAAUCCGGGGAGCGGAAUGAGAGCCUGCUGUUAGCCCCAGCUUCUGCCAACCUAGCAGUUUGAAAACAUGCAAAUGUGAGUGCAUCAAUAGAUACCGCUCCGGCGGGAAGGUAAUGGCGCUUUAUGCAGUCACGCCAGCCACAUGACCUGGAGAUGUCUAUGGACAAUGCUGGCUCUUCGGCUUAGAAAUGGAGAUGAGCACCAACCCCCAGAGUCGGUCACGACUGGACUUAACAUCAAGGGAAACCUUUACCUAUGUCUUAAAAAUUAUUGUUGUUUAGUAGAUGUAGCACAAAAAAUCCUUCUAUAACCACGGGAAAGCCAAAGAAGAGACAGAUGACAUUAUUUAUGAGAAAAAUGGUCCUGAAUAUUUUUAAACAGGAAAGGGGGAACAUCUGGCUGCUCCAAAGGAUUUGUCCCAAUUGUAUCAUCAAAUGGAAGAAGAAAUAAAUGUAUCUGGGAAAAUUCAAAGCAGAGAAGUUAAAAUAAGUGUCUACUUCAAGAUGAAAUAUUUCCACAGAAUUGUGAUUCUAUAUUUUGUCCAUACAUUAAUGCAAGGGGAGAACACAAAUUGUGGCCCAUGAGCUGCAUGUGACUCUUGCAGUUUCACACUAUUUUCUGAAAAGCCAUUCUUUAAACAAAAUCAGCCUGAUUUGGAGCAAUUUUGUCUCUAAGCCAGGUAGAAAAUCUUCCCAAAUCUGUGAAAACACAUGACAAUAUUCUCCAUUCUUACAACCACCUCGACCUCAAAAUGCACCCAUUUUCCUAGGCAGUCCCUCUCAAAGGGAUGUCAGGAAAUGAGUGGAAGUCAUGUCCUGUCACCAUUUUAAAAGAGAAUGAAAGAGAAAACAGAGGUAUUAUGCUUGCUGGUGGUUGUUCUACAGGGGAAAAUUGCCACCUGGUCUCCAUGCAAUUGUCUGCUCCUGCAUUAAUAGGUGUAAUGGUGCAUACAGAAGAAUUCAAAUGUCUUUCUAGAGAAUGCUUAAUGCUCCCCUAAUAUUAAUAGUACUUUUAUUGCAGAAUGGACAGUCAUUAUCCUUGCCCCUCUGCUUCACUCACUGAUAUCAACAUAUAAGAAGGACAUGUCAUAAGUCAGUGGCUCUCAGCUUGUGGAUCCCCAGAUGUUUUGGCCUUCAACUCCCAGAAAUCCUAACAGCUGGUAAACUGGCUGGGAUUUCUGGGAGUUGUAGGCCAAAACACCUGGGGACUCACAGGUUGAGAACCACUGCUAUAGAUGCUCACUUAGUAACAUGGUGUCUGAUUUGUGCAACAUUAAGACAGGAAAUGGUUUUGUACCAUUAUUUUGUUUAUUAUUUGAUUUCUGUGCUCAACAUUCAACUAGUGCAGAUUUAUUUUGAGAUUUUAACUCCUUCUCAUAUGUGCAAUUGUCUGUGGAGAAUAUAAGGCUUUAAUUACACCAAGUAAUUGGAUUUCUAUUCCAGUAUUUGGAUGCUUUUAUUGCAUGAUGGGUAACUUUCCCAUUUCUAUUAGUCUCAGUGGUGUCUUAAUUAAAAUGCAUAUUUCCAUUCAGUGUUUGUUUAAAAAAUUGUUUUCAAUUUUACCCCUUUUCUAAAAAGCCCGCCAGCAAUUAAUGAUAGAUUCAAAUGAAAAGAUAGCUCAUUAAGAAGGAAUUGCUGUGGCAAAGUUGUUGGAAAACCACGUACAGGCUGUCGCAGCCUAAUUCUCCCCUUCAAUCAUCCUAUGCCAUAAAGUGAUCUAUGUCAUAAAGCACAAUUUAAGAUGGACUUGAGCAAUGAGAAUUGCAGUGUAAAUGCUAACAGCAUGAAAAUCAUCAGUUCAACAUAAGUUCUGUUGAGCUCCUCCUCAAUGAAUGAUGGAAACAUUUAGCCCUCUUUCCCUGUGUAAGUAUAUCCCACACAUUUUCCUUUCAUCCAAAUUAACAGCCAUCUUGAGGGUAGAACUAUGUCAAUAGUAUAUAAAGUAACUUGAUCUUCUUUUAAAAAAUAGAAUUGCCUAGACACUGUCACACAUAACCCCUGAGAGAAAUUUUGCUAGGCAGAACAAGAAAUUUUGGGUCCUCGAAGGUGGCGGGGGGGGGGGGGGUGAAAGAGUGGCUGCUCUCCUUUUUCCCUACUGCCAUCAAAAAUUCAUAGACCUCACUGUGGCUCUUUGGGCCCUAGACCAAAGUACUGGUUGAAACCAGAAUGGGAAUGAAGAGUUUACAUAUGAACAUAUGCAUGAAUUUUCAUGUGCUAGUACCCUUUUUAUUUUGAGAAUGUAGUACACAAUGAUAUCUUCAGUUAAGAGUUUGAUUCAUUCCAUGACUGUGCUCUUGACUCAGAUCAUUCUUAUCUGAAGGCAGAUUUUCCCACUGAAAUGCUGUUAAUUCAUUCUGGGGCCCCAACCACUCCUCCCAAUUUAUUUUGUUACGUGUUUUUAAAUAAGAAAAUGUACUUUAUAAAUAACAAAUAUUGUAUAAAUGGACAUUCACAUGGAACAAUAAAAAAGAAAGAUCAACUUUUAAAUAGUAGAAGGAAAAUGUGGCAUUGAAACACAUUUGAGGCAACAAAAUGUGUGUUGGCUAGUGUAGCAGUAAGGCAAAACCUACACAUUCACAUGGAAAAAUUAAAAAAGAAAAAUCAACCUUAAAAUGGUAGAAGUACAAAGUCGUGGCAAGAAAACACAAAGUAAAGAGGCAGAAGCAUUAUUUUCAUUUUCCAUACUAAUUUCCCUCCCUCCCUCUCUUGCUCCUCUGUCUUUCUCCCUCCCUCCCUCCCUCCCUCCCUCUCUUUUCAUGGAGCCAAACAUACAAGGAAUUUUUGUUCAUGCCAGGAAUGACUUGAGAAACUGCAAGUUGCUUCUGGUGUGAGAGAAUUGCCUGUCUGCAAGGACAUUGUCCAGGGGACGCCCAGAUGUUUGAUGUUUUACCAUCCUGUGGGAGGCUUCUUUCAUGUCCCCGCUGACAGACUAGAACUCACCCCGCUCCAUGGAUUCUAAUUGCUGACCUUUCAGUCAGCAGUCCUGCUGGCAAAAGGGUUUAACCCAUUGUGUCACUGGAGGCUCCAUACCAGGAAUAAAAGCCACACAAAGUCAACUAACCGAAGGUUCCUCAAAGUUGAAUGUUAGAGGAUGUAGAGAUUUCCCCAGUUUAAAAUGUUUCAAAAGAAUAUAGACUAUGUAACUUGAAAACCAGUGUAAGUCUUUUUCAGCAGAGAAUUGUGUUGGUCAUUUCAAAGCCUCCACAUCAUCUCUUCUGUUCUUACCAUUGUCAUGAUCUGACUGUAAUGCCACAUAGAAAUGGCAUAUUACCUACAUUAUAUUUUUCAAACUUUCACAAUUUAAUAUUACUCUCUUUUCAACUAAGAAGAAAGAAAGCUGGAAUCAUUAAUUUUAUCCAAGUCACAAACUUUCCCACAGUGACUAAAGUUCCACAGGUAAAACAUAUUUCCUAAGGUUAGAAGGCAGACCUCAUAGGCAUUCAACUCCGGGUGUUCCCAUGCUGGGUAUCUUCACAAGAACAAAACCUAAAAAUGGUCCCCUGUUUUCCAAAUCCUAGCUCAAUAAUGAGGUUUCAUCUAGAUCCAACUUCAAUUAUGGUUGCCUUGGAAGAAAAAAAAUCAGAACUUACUUAAAAGGCAGGGUUUACCCUCUAAGUUUUGUUUGUGUUUCAUCUGAUUUGAGUAACCUCCCUUUAUUAAUAGUGUACAUUUCAUUGCACUGUCUUCUUUAUUACUAACUCUUCCUCAUGGUUCCGCAUGUAUUGAUUUAAUGUUUUUUCUCUGACUGUUAAGUGUUUCAUGUUGAAUUUAUGACAUAAUUUGCAUCAUGUUUUAAUUCCGCUUGUAAACAUGCAUGUGCACACCUUGCUCUUUUGCAGCAUGCUUUGUUUUGUCAUCUUGUUCUUGCCUGAUUUAAUUUCAGUCCGAUUUUGCUUCUUUGCUUCCGUUAUAUCUUUAGACACAUAGUCUUGUCACAGUUCUUCCUGACUGUCAGCAUUUUGUCCUUAGGUUUGAAAGAGCUUCAUUUACACACUGCCAUUUGCCUCCUCUCUUUCUAUCACCUUCAUUUGCAAACGGCUGACAUCUAUUUGCUAACGUGCAUCUAGAGUCUUGUUGUUUUGACAGCUGCUUUAGUGCAGUAAUAUUAUGCCAGCAAUUCUCAUUUCAUUCUCAAUGAGGAUGGGAAUGUCAAUUAGCCUAUCACUAGUAUGUAGACUGUUCAGGCAUCAUUCCUGUUGUAGUGUUGUAGGAUUUCUGCAUGUGGAAUAUAAAGUAAUAAUUUGAUUUUCCAUUUGUAAUGUUACUACCCUAAACAUUUGAACAAUCAAAUAAGAAUCAAAUUAUUGAUAUUGAAAACAAACAGUAAAAACACUAUCUUUUAACUGUGAUAACUCUCCAAUCCAAAUAAUGUCACAGUAGCAACAUCGAAAUAGAUUUGCUGGACUGGGUGUAAGGCUUAUCUAAUCCAACAUGUUCCUCGCCAAGUCAGCCAGCCAGGCAGAUGCCUCUGGUAAAGCCACAAACAUGACAUGACAGCAAUGGCUCAUCCUUAAUGUAGUUUCAAAAUAACUGGUGUUCAACAAUAUAAUGCUUUGAUCUUGGAAAUAGAAUGUAGCCAUCUUAAUUAGCAGUUAUGAACUUGGAUGGCCAGCCAGCCUCUCAAUAAUAAUAAUAAUAAUAAUAAUAAUAAUAAUAAUAAUAAUAAUAUAACAACAACAACAACAACAACAUACAAUCCUAAGGUUAGCAGAUACCCCUAAGGAUCAUCCAGUUCAACUUCCUUAUAUCAUGCAGGAGGACACAAUCCAAGCACUUCUGACAGAUGGCCACCCAGCCUCUACAUGAUGAUGAUGAUGAUGAUGAUGAUAAUAGAAGCAUAGAAUCCAAGAGUUUGGAGAGACCCCUAAGGGCCAUCCAGCCUAACCCUUUCUACUAUGCAGCAGGACACAAUCCAAGCAUUCACAACACAUGGACAGUGUAUAAAUACUAUAAAAUACUACAUAGGGACAUAGACCCCCUCACCACUUUCACAGUACACAAACAACCAAAUGCAUACUAAACGUAAAGACAACCAUACAACAGACAUUCAAUACCACCACUACCUCAACAAUUUCUCACCAACACCACCAGACAACGCCACAGCAACGCGUGGCCGGGCACAGCUAGUGAAAUAUAAAAUAUCACUAGUAUUUUAUAUUAAAAAUAUGUUGUGAACAAUGAAUCACAAAGUUUAGCAGUCUAUUUAAGGUAAUAAAACUGUAGAUAUUACAUCCUGAGAUAUACUCAAAGCGGCUGUGCAUGUAAAUAUAGGAUUAAAUAUAGAAAUGUAAAUAUAGAAAUAUAGAAGUUAAUAGUGGUAUUAAAUUAAAACAAGAAAACCCUUAGGGCAUAUUGUAAGUGAUAGCCAUUCAAAAAUGAAAGAUUUAAAGUGUGUGGAUAACUCCUGUAUACAUGUUUGAGAACUACUUCCUUCAAUGUUCAACUGAAUAAGGAAGAACAUGAAGGCUAUUAGAGUUUGGGCAAGGAAGGCAUUGAACUGCCCUUAGUGUCCCUAUGUCUGCGACCUCCGUCUCCUCCAUUCCCCACAUUUGUGCUGAAUGCAUGAAAGUUGGGAGUAGAGAGAAAAGGUCUCUUGUGGGGACAUUGGACAGAACUGGUCCAAAUCUCCCCUCAACUCCCUAUAUACUUGAACUUUUUACAAGUUCAAGAGUAAUUUCUACAAAUUAGUAGAAAUGAUGGGCGUUAGCAUUUGAUCGACCCUGCUUGGCAUUUCAAGGUAGCCACUGUGAGAACAGAUUUAUUAAUUUUCUCUAUGUCAUCCACAUAUUCUUUGGAGAACCAUUUUGUGAUCAUAAAUAUACAAAUUUGGUUCAUUAUGCCUUUUGUUUACUGCUGUUGUACUGCCUGGCCUGCUUCGUGUAACUGUCUGCGUAAUUUCUCUCUGGCUGUCAGCUUCCAAUAUCCAGUCUAUCUACCUCUUGAGUUAUUCUUUUGUAAUUUAAACAGGAAUUAGAAUAAAAAUUAAAAGUGUUCAUUGCCAAUUAUUUGGGGAUCAUUAAGGGUGUCAUGUCAUUUCCCUCCUCUAGUAAACACUUCACAAUGAAACUAUUUUUAAUUAAAAGUAUGUGAUUUCUGCCUUUGACCUUUUCAAAAAAAAGUUGUCAAAAGAAUUACUGCAUGUCUCCAUCCAAGGAUGUGUAUUUAUUUUUCAUGCAAUGACAAAUAGCAUUUGGCCAGAAACAGAAUGCCAUGUAACCCAUCAGCAUAAUAACAUUUGGAUAACACUAUAUAACAAAAUUUGAAGAAAAAAAAUCUGUUCCUGCUUGAGAAGUGUUAGUUCCUGUUUAAUUGUGCAGUACUUACUUUGAAAGUAGUUGUUAUACUCCAGAAACUUCAUUUUUGUGGUUGCCACAAACCAUGUUGAAUUAAUUGAGAGAGUACCUACCUCAUCACAUUGAAAGGAGACAGCAUGGGUGAUGUGACGCACCUUUAAGAGUAGAGAAUUGCCUCAUAUAUCAUUACCAGUCCCAUUUCACGUUCUGCCUUUCCAUCACACGCACACUCACACAUGGAAACUUAAGAGCUGGCAAUACAUUCACCUUACAGUCAUCACAAGGUCAAUAUUACUUUUUUGGUUCAGGAGAAACAACAAUAUCCAAAAAGAGAGAUCCCUUACCCUGCCCAAAGCCCCUUAAAUUAAAGAAGGGUGGCACUAGUUUAAAACCACUUCUUUCCAUGCUAUCCUAUUGUUCUGCCCCAAACCCAUAGGAUACAAGAGACAGUGAUCCAGGUUAAAAUUAUUUCUUUCAAUGGGAUCCUAUGGUUUUGCAUCAAAGCCCAUAGGAUACAAGAGACGGUGAUCCAGGUUAAAACUAUUUCUUUCAAUAAGAUCCUAUGGUUGUGCAUCAAAGCCCAUAGGAUACAAGAGAUUGCUGACAGCUGGCCAAUGAAACAUGACAGGAAAAUUUUGAUGGUUUUCAUCACACCUGUUUUUCAGUUGUGAACACGGCAGUAAAGUGCAAUAAGAGGUAGGAGCUCUGAACACAAUUGCUGACCCAUGUUCAGAGUCCCCUCCUUUCAGGACAUUUCUGCCUCUUUUCACCCUGGGGGGGCGGAUUUCUCAAUGUAAUUAAGUUGAUUGCUGGAGUUCUCUCCUUUCAGGACACUUCUGCCUUUUUUCAACCACGGAUGAGCUCAAUGCCUCUCCAUGCUUAAAAAGAGGUUGAAGUGUUCUAUGACUGGGAAAUUUCUCAAUCUAAUAAAGUGGCAUGACAUAGUCACUGAAAAACAAUAGCAAAAUGUCCUGCAGGAUGUCCCUCAGUUUAAUAAUUUUUCCCAUGUUUUUAUGAUAGAACCAAUUAAGAAGUGACAUUUAUAACCCAGGAACAAAAAUCAGGUUACAUAGUGUAAUCAGAUAUUCAAAUAUUCAGGGUUUUUUAUUGCUAUUCCACAUAUGUCUCUGUCAAAAAUAGAAGCCAUGACAUAAUUUUUUCUAUAAUCUGACUCUUAUAUGAAUUACAGGAUGCAAGAAUAGGACAGUGUUCUUUUAGAAACCUGUGGGAUACAUUUUCCUUCAUAAUAAUGUUCAGCUGAGCAAAAACAUAUUGUGAAAAAAGUUUAUAAACGUAGAGAUAAUUAUGGAAAUUCCAUAAUUUUACCAUGAUAGACUCCAUCUUAAAAGCUCAAAUGCAAAAGUGAACUUGAACAAUGUUAAGAACAAAGGAAAUAUCUAGAUCAACGAAAGUCCACGAAGAAAGUGAGCAAAAGGAAUGUGUGUUUUCCCGAAAUAAUACCUGGUAAUUCAAAUACACACAUACACACCACUUCAGGAUGAUAAACAUAAAAAUAUAUGAGCAACUCUUGUUCAGAAGUUUGGAACAAUGGCAUGAUCAGUAAAGAAAAACUAACAAUAAUCCAAACAGCAGUGACAAGGAGAGAGCCCCAUGACUCUUGCAAUAUGUUGUAGACAGACAAAAGAUCUGUGUAGCCUUUGAGGAAUUGAUUCAGCCUUAACCUUUCCCCUCUGUAAGAACUUUGUGAACAGAUAGUGGAUAAAUAGAAAAUGUCUCAGAAGAGAGACAAUACAACCCACUGCAGGUAUGAAAUAAAUGAGAGGCCCUAAACCCACAAAGUGCUUGAGUUGACUCGUGGUAAAAAGCUGACCCUUAGCUCCUUUCAACUUUACACUUUCUUCUGUCCCUGAGGUUAGGCUUUCUUCGUUCUUCAAACAUCCAGAUUUAUUUCCCCACUCAGAUUGAGGAGACUUAUGGUAGGACCAGAUCUUCUUCUUUACUUUCAGAAGCCUCAUGCCAAGUAUUGAAGAUUGCUUUAUAAACAUGGUAUGAAAAGAGCAGCGCUAAAGUUGUAGUGCAGUUCCCACCUGUUGAUCAUGCAGAAUUAUCAAACAUAUUAAUGGAAUUGAUCUCAUUUGUUUUCAAGCAUAUAUCAAAAUAUUGUAGGCAACACAUUCAUUAAUCAUGGUGUUGAAGUCUGCCCUAUGGCUUCCAAAAAGAGAACCUUUCAGUUUUCCAGCUCCUGCCCUGUAGAUCUCUUCCUAUUAAUUUAAGGAGGUGCAAGCAAUUUUGACUUCUAGGCAUUUGUCACCCCUAUCUCCUCAAUCAUCUUCCCUAAUGUGUGAAAAAGCUACAUUGGUUUUAUUGGCCAUGUGGCUGUUAUAUCUUGUCAUGUGGCUAUUUUUUUUAUCUCCCCACCCCCUAUGAGUAAGGCACCUAGGAGAAAGGCAAGAUAUAAAAAUAAAUACAGACAUUUUAAAAGGUGCACAGUUGAACUUUCGUUGCAUAACCCAAUACCUACAAGGACAGUAGGCUCAUGAUGUUAUUUAUUCAUUCAGUUGCUUCCGACUCUCAUGACCUCAUGGACCAGCCCACGCCAGAGCUCCCUCUUGGCUGUCACGACCCCCAGCUCCUUCAAGGUCAAGCCAGUCACUUCAAGGAUGCCAUCCAUCCAUCUUGUCCCUGGUCGACCCCUCUUCCUUUUUCCUUCCAUUUUCUUCCAUUUUCUUUCAUGAUCUUCUCCAAACUUUCCUGUCUUCUCAUUAUGUGGCCAAAGUACUUCAUCUUUGCCUUUAAUAUCCUUCCCUCCAGUGAGCAGUCAGGCAUUAUUUUCUGGAGUAUGGACUGGUUAGAUCUUCUUCCAGUUCAAGACACUCUCAGAAUUUUCCUCCAACACCACAGUUCAAAAGUAUCUAUCUUCCUUUGCUCAGGCUUAUGAUCCAGCUCUCGCAUCCGUAGGUUACUACAGGGAAUACCAUUGCUUUAACUAUGUGGACCCUCGUUGCCAGUUUGAUGUCUCUACUCUUCACUAUUUUAUCGAGGUUGGCCACUGCUCUCCUCCCAAGAAGUAAACGUCUUCUGAUUUCCUGGCUGCAGUCUGCAUCUGUAGUAAUCUUUGCACCUAAAAAUGCAAAGUCUGUCACUACCUCCAUGUUUUCUCCCUCUAUUUGCCAGUUCUCAAUCAGUCUGGUUGCUAUAAUCUUGGUUUUUUAUGUUUAACUGCAAUCCAGCUUUUGCACUUUCAUCUUUCACCUUGGUUAGAAGGCUCUUCAGCUCCUCCUCACUUUCAGUCAUCAAAGUAGUAUCAUCUGCAUAUCUGAAAUUGUCAAUGUUUCUUCCAGCAAUUUUAACUUCAACCGUGGAUUCAUCAAGCCCCACAUGUCGCAUAAUGUUUUCUGCAUAUAAGGUAGGGUGAGAGUAUACAGCCCUGCCGUACUCCUUUCGCAAGCUUGAACCAGUCUGUUGUUCUGUGGUCUGUUUUUACCAUUGCUACUUGGUUGUUAUACAGGUUCCUCAGGAGACAGACAAGGUGACUUGGUAUCCCCAUACCACCAAGAACUUGCCACAAUUUAUUAUGAUCCACACAGUCAAAGGCUUUAGAAUAGUCAAUAAAACAGUAAUUGAUGUUUUUCUGAAACUCCCUACCUUUCUCCAUUAUCCAGCAGAUAUUGUCAAUUUGGUCUCUCAUUCCUCUGCCUUUUCUAAACCCAGCUUUUAUAUCUGGCAGCUCAUACCUACCAAUGAUACCCUCAUUUUCUGUGUGUCUUCUGGGUCUGUCAUAUGUUCAACAGGGCAUCUAAAAUAGAAAACAAAUGCAUGGUUGAAUGUAAACCUUCUGUCUCAGUAGAAAUUCAUCUACCUGCAUUCCAGUUUACGUGGUGAGUCUAUGAUCAGCUAUCUUGGGGCGUGAACAUUUGGGCAGUCCUGAUUCUUGGUUUUAUAGGUGGAAGACGCAUGCAUCUGUGGUUCUUAGGGGUUCCAGUGAUGUUCCUUUGCACAUUCAGAAAGGAAUUGUAAGUGAAAUAUGGAUAUAAGGGAGUAACUAAAAUAUGAAGUCAGUGUUGUUUGAGUGUGCAUACUAUAUCUGAAAAGAAAGUGUUUCUACUUCUUUAACAUCUUAGCUGUUGGUUGUUGUACAAUAUGGAAAUGCUUCCAGGAGGGCUAGAACCUACUAACAGUUGCCCAAUUGUGCCAGCUUUGUUAUUAGUGUAUUUUACUGCAGGAAUAUGAAUCUCCCUGUGGUUUGUUGAAGAUGUAAUUUGAAUUAUUGUAUAAACAACUAGUAAUAAGCUGAAACAGUUGUUUCCCCACACAGCAGUACAUUUCUCCGUCAACUGGUGCUGAGUGAGCUUGUGGGUGGGCUUUGUCAUUUCCUGCUUCUCAAAUCAGUUUGCUAAUCAUCAUCACUUAUGUUGGACAGGCUGUACUCUGAGCAUGGUUGCAGAUGCUUGUGUUGGAUGAUGCUGAUCUGAUUAUGCAUGUAUGAUGAACGCGUAUAUGUUAUGCAACAAGAUCCUCAUUAAUUCUGAGAAAUGCAAAUAAGGAUCAUAUGCCAAAGUAUUGGUGUGUGUGUUUUUUAACUCUUGUAAUGUGUUCUGGAAGAACUUCCUAAAAUGAAUUUGACAAAUGAUUGUGAUCAAUAUGUAAGAUUUGAAUAAAGGGAGAUUUUUGAAUUCCAUCUUAACACAAACUGAAAUGAGAGCCAACCAAAAUUUACUCCUGCAAUAUGUCACUUCUCAAGGCAGCAUGUAUUUCAGAUUUCUAGCAGAAAGGAUUUUCAGAAUUGUUAGCCUCAACAAAAAAAAGAAAAAAAAGAAAGAAAAAAAGAAAAAAGGAAGCAUUGAAAAUUCUGCUCAGUAUGCCAGUUCUACCCAACAUGUGCUGUUAAGGUAUUGUAGAACAGUGAAAAAUACUCUGUUCAAGCCAAAGUGACUGCAUAUGUGCCAUUUCAACAGGAGGGGUGGGAGCAUGGACUGCCAGUCUCUGUGAGCUGAACUGGUAUAGGCAGCAGUAAGGAAUGCUGGAAGUUGCAUUCAUAUAAAUAAUAUUUCUGGCUCUAAGAUAGCUUUCUAUGGUUUCUGCAUAGACCAGAUCAAAGUAGUAGACUGUUAUCUCCCACCCUGGAGUAUAAGUUGGGUAUAGGGACAGUUCCUAUGUACUGCUACUGGGUAAUUCAAAAAUAUAACUAACUGGGUAGUGUCUCCCUCCAGAGCCUUGUUGAAAAAUUACAGAUCCUUCUUUGUGGCCUCCAAGAAUUCUAAAUCUCUCCCUUCAAAAAGUCAUCCUUUAUCAGAUGAAGGAAUGAUUGUGUCCCCUUCCAUUUCUCAGGAAGUUAAUUUUCUUUAAUGAAGCAAAAUCCUUCCAAGAUUUAAGAGUGAAGGUGAGCUGUUAUUUUUUUUAAUGAAUCCUGGGUAUGUUUGGACCAUACUACUACUGCAAAGUCAGCUGUCCCAGCUAUGGCAUUUAGAGAGUGUGAAUGCUGAUUUUCUCACAUAUCUUACAAGAUAGUUUUAUGUCAAAUGACAAUAUAUAUGGAUUUAUCAGUAUAAAGAAUUAUUGAAAACUAAAUCAGAUUUCUGGAAGGAUAAAUAACCAACAGAAAGCCCCUGUAAAAUACUGAUAUACAUAGUAACAUUAAUCAUUUGCUUUUAUGUUGAUGGUAGUUUACCAGUGAUAUAUUUUAAAAAGAGGAAUAAAUUUGCAAUCAGGUAUUGUUCAUCUCCUGGGAACUUUGAAGCAAAAUUAAUGAUAAAAAAUGCCAUCGAAAUUGCUGAUGUGGUCACUAAGGAUCGAUUGAUGUAACAUUAUUUAAAGGUAAUUACAUUGUGGAGCCUCCAGUGGCUCAGUGUGUUAAAGUGCUGAGCGGCUGAACGUGAAGACCAAAAGGUCCCAGGUUCAAAUCCGGGGAGCGAAGUGAGCGCCCGCUGUUAGCUCCAGCUUCUGCCAACCUAGCAGUUCGAAAACAUGCCAAUGUGAGUAGAUCAAUAGGGACCGCUCCGGCGGGAAGGUAACGGUGUUCCAUGCAGUCAUGACCUUGGAGGUGUCUACGGACAACGCCGGCUCUUCGGCUUAGAAAUGGAGAUGAGCACCAACCCCCAGAGUCAGACAUGACUGGACUUAACGUCAGGGGAAACCCUUUACCUUUACCUACAUUGUAGAAUGACUGCAGUGUGAUCUCCCUUUUUUUCCAACUGCUUCUUGAAUUUACACAACAGUGUUGUCUUUUCCAGUUAUUCACGUUGGCUCAUAAUAUUUCGAAAGCAUGACAGUCUCUGUUUACUAGUCAUCUUCACUUCUAACCAGAGUACAUGAUUGACCCAUUCAUCAUUUUUUCAAAACAUAGAUUUCAAAUACAUUCUAAAACAUUACUUUUCAUUGAUUGUUAUUUUUAAUUUUUUAUUUAAGCCUUUAAUUUUAUUAUUUACAAUUGAUUUCAUCUGGUGCAUAACAUAAAAUCAAAUCUUUAUUUUUGGUCAGCAACCAGUAUAGAAUCCCAGUAUGAAUGAAUCAUCCAUUCACAUUAGUGCAGUGUUUACAUUAGAUUAGGAUAUGAAUUAAAAUUUACCACCAUUAUAAAAGAUACUUAUAAGACCCUACUCUGACUAUAAGGUUUGAAAAGAUAACCUAGACUUUAAAACUAUAUCAUGUUAAAAACAUCUCAUCCUGUACUAUCUGACUUCUGGAUGUCACAGUUUGAGAACCGCUGCUCUAGGGAAUCUAUUUCAACAAGUGGGCAAGGGAAAACCUCUUUUCAAGGAAGCAGCCAGGCUUUGAAUCUGCAAGGCCAUUAAAUGCUAAGCAAGCUGGCCAAUUGCAACAUUCACACUAGCCUCAAACAGACAAGAGCUCCCAUCCUGCACUUUCCACAGAUAUAUAAACCCCAGUUACCUAGCAUCCAACAGACCUCACAACCUCUGAGGAUGCCUGCCAAUGUGUGGGCCUGGCCUUGGAGGUGGGCCUGUCCCCGGAGGCAGCGUGGCUUUGGGCCAGGCCCCAAAGGCAGCCACAGGCUGAAGGCGGGCCCACGCGUGAAGGCGGGCCCACAGCUGAAGGCCCGAAGGCGGGCCCAGGCCAGUGCGACCCUGGAAGUAGGAGGCGAGGGUGUGCGCGCACGCAUGCACGCUAGUGCGCACCUCAACUGCGCCCCCUAGAGGAAUGGCACCACAGGAAACUACCUAAUUUGCCUCACGGUUGAACUGCCCCUGACUCUAUCCCUUGGUUUUUGGCCUUUAUCUCCUAUCUCUCUUUCUAUUUUUUUCCUCUUCUGUAUCUUUCAUAAAUCUUUGAUAAAAUUAAUUUGCUUUUUGUAUGAAUUUUAUAUAUGUUCUUUUUUAUACAUCAUUUAAAAAAGUGAAUGCCUUUUAAGAUCCAGCAAAAAGUUGCCCAAGAUGGAAUUAGUAGUAGUGAGGAACUACCAUUUUAGAUUACAUUAGCUGGUCAACAAUUGUAUAAUCUAUAAAUCCUUAAUAAAGCUUUGUUGAUAUUAUACAGUAUAAUAAUGUUAUUGUAGUUAUGGUGGUUAUUUAUUCUUUUCAUAACUAUCUCCCACUCUGUAAUCAGUUUUUUUAAAAAUAUUUUAUGGUGAUUUAUAAAAAUAAUAAAAUCUCAUUUCUAUUUUGGAUAGAAAAUACCUUUAUUAAAUAUAUCUCAGAGAGAGAGAGAGAGAGAGAGAGAGAGAGAGAGAGAGAGAGAGAGAGAGAGUUAGUUCUGCCAGUAGAUCCCUCUCUGAUACCAACAAGGUAUUAUAUCAGCCUAAAGGCAUUCCAGUAAAAAGAAGGACAAUCCAGUCUGUAAAAAAAGUUUCUGCCUAUUCUUAAGCCUCUUCUCACGGCACAUCUCAUGCUGAAAACAGCCAUGCAAUGAAUUUCUAGAAGCCACAAUCAGGAUAUCUCCAGCAAAGAAGACAUGAAUCCUAAUAAAUUUAACUAAAAACAAGACUCAGAAGUGAGGAAUACUUCUGAGAGUACCCUUCUCAGUCUGGGAAGAGCAUCAACAGUGAAUGUUUUUUUGUAUAAAUAUGAAUAAGCACAUAGCAUACAUAACAACGAUGAAGAAUCUUCUUUCCAUUUUUCCUUCUGAGCAAUUAAAUCCCCAUGGAUGUGUGAAACACCACGAGAGAUGCCCUCAGCAUUGUAUCUGUGUACAAAUAUGGAAGAGCUGCAGCACAGGUCUUUGAGCAUUGCUUUAAUUGGGAUUCAUCCAUUUAUGCAAAUUGGGCGCUAUUGCUUUUUGUUUUUCAGCCAGUGCUGGCAACUGUGUCUCUUCCUUGCUCUCAGAGAGCUGUUGCAAUUAUUUCAGAAGAGAAAACAAACCUUUCUUAGAAGCCUCAAUGAAAAUAAAUUUAUUCAUUUUAAUUACUGCUAAAAAUAAUACUGUAACUAUAAAACUAUGAAUAACAGAAGAAGGGAUAGAGUAGGGGUGGGAGAAUGGACAAAGGAUGCCUUAUUUGCUGCAGUUUCCACAAAAGAUACAAAUUGCUCUCUGAAACUUAAGAUAAACAGGGACAAAAUAUGUUGAAAGGGAGGAACUCAGAAGAUGUGGUAUAAAAAUAUAAUAUUGAAUAAUUUUGAGUUAAUUUUAAAUGAAAAUCCAUUACAGUUAGAUGGAAUUUGCCCUUGAGAGCUAGCAGUACUGAUGCUCCAGCAAUUAGCCUUGAUAAAUGGUGGAUAAUUGUGUAUUGAGAGGAUCACAACAUCAGAAAAGCAAUUAAUAUUCCUGUGAGCACUGAUUCACAUGUGAUUUUGUGGUGUUGGGGACCUUGAGUAGUCAAGUAGAAGAUGUGUAAGUUAAGUCUGGUUGCUAUAGUCUGGCUUCUCAACAUCCUUUUAUGUUGUAGGAGUGCUAUUUUUUAUUGUUUGGAUUGUUGCAGUGUACUGACGUCAGAGUGUGUUUUUGAGCCAUUAUAUCUGCUGCUGUUUCGUCAAUGUGUUUUCACAUAUCUAGACUACAGGAGGGACACAGAAGAGGACUUUUAAAGUUCCACUUUAGACAUGGCGUGCAACAGAAUAUCUGCAUGUAUUUUAUUUCCUUCAGUACAUGGAUACUCAAUAUUUGGUCGGCUACUAGGCAUGUGAAUUUACGAAGUCAAAAGUAUGUAGCUAAUUUUUUUGUGUUAACUGACAUUGCCCUUGAAAGCAAGGCUGAAUCAUGGCAAUUAGGAUCCCUGAAAAAUCUCCCAGAAAAGACCCCUCCCCAUGUGCAAAUGAACACAUUCCACUGUUAGCUUCCUGCUUUGACCAGUGCUACCAGCCCAAGAGGUAUCCUCAAUAGAAAUACUACUGACCCGAGGGAAGGGUAGAUACGGUCAUUCCCCUUGCCUGUUUUCCUGCUGGCGACUGGGUUGCCAGGAGUCGAAGGUGAAAAUAAGGGACACAAUAACAGUAACUCCAAAGUUGUGAUUGCAAAGAUGAAGACAGAGUAAAAUGAUACCAAAAUUUCAUUCAAAAUAGUGUUUUAGCUUCGAGGUCACAUACAUUUUGAUAAACAAUGAAAUUAAAAAAAACAGGCUAGACAGUUUUUAAUCAUUAAUUUAAAAUAAUUGUACUUUUCAUUACUGCUAAGCGCUUUCAACAGUUUCAUAUUACUUUUUACUUCAUUAUAAAAUUCUUUGCAUGAAACUGAAAUAAGCAGCUCAUGGCUUACUAAAUUAGACAGACACCUAUUUCUGACAUCAGUCCACUUCAAGUUCAUAUGUGAUAACGCACUUUCCAUAAAAGCAUUGGAACUAGUUGUGCUCAAACAAAAACUAACCAAAGGAAGAACAUUUGGUACUCCAUUCUGUACAUUUCUGAAACUGUAACCUAUUUGUAUUGUUGAAGGUUUUCAUGGCUGGAAUCACUGGGGUGUUGUGUGGUUUCCGGGCUGUAUCGCCAUGUUCUAGCAGCAUUUUCACAUGGCAUUUCAACUGCAUCUGUGGCUGGCAUAUCCAAAGGAUCUGCUGGUGGUAAAGCAAGUGGAGUACACAAUGGUUCUACUCCACUUGCUUUAAGUGAAAAUCUUUUUUCCUGCAGCAAUUAUUCUUUUAGAAUUAUUUUUAGCGGAUGCUUCUUGUUUAUGUUUUUUGUCGUUCGUCUUGCAUGUCCAAACACGUCCAAACAUGUCCAAACACCUCACUUGUUGAGAAGACACUGGGAAGUAAACAAUGGAAUGUGAGUACAGAUGAAGACCAGCGUCUAGAAUGAAGUGAAAUGAUCAAAAGGCAUGGAAUGGAAUCAGAACUGCAAACAUUCACAUAAUGCACCUGUGAAAGGACGGGUUUCUGCCCAUUUCUGCGGUGUAGCUUCUAUUUUGAAAUGUGGAAACAGUCAACGGCAGAAUUUAGUUUUGAAGUAUGUUACAGGACAAUUGACAUCUCAGGAAAGAAUGUUACUGGACGUGGGACAUUUUAGUCAAAUACGGGACUGUCCCUUAAAAUCCAGAAUGCCUGGCAAGCAGGCUGGACCAAGGCUAGAAUCUCAGAAACAGUUCCAUCCAACUUUGAAUUCUCUGCUGUGGGGAAGUAAAGACAGUGUGAGCAACAAAUACAAUAAACCCUCAAGAACUGCAGAGAAAGAGAGAUCUGCAAUCAUCCUUCCCAGGAGCUUUUCUCCCUUAACAGCAUAACUGUCCAAUAAACUUGUGUGCACAUAUCUUUGUCUGCCUCUUUGUCUAUCUGUACUUGUGCGGAUGGGUUCAAUGCCAGCAGCAGCAUAGGCCAACUACCUUCUGGAAAAGUUGGAGCAUUGCUCAUCUGCUCUACUGAUAUACCAACCUCACUUGAAAGAUAUUAAGAGUAUUGACCAAGAUUCAGUCUCAUUACUAAAAGCAUCUCUCUGUUUCUUCGUUUCGUUUUCAGGUAUUGUUGUUGGGGCUUAUCCUGCAAUGUACUUCAGCACAUUAGGAUUGCAAUUUUAUUCUAAGUGCCUGUUGAGAAAACCCAUGAAAGCUUUUCAGGCAUCUCUACAUUCCAGAUUAAACCAUCUAUUUGUUAUUAUUCUAUCGGGAUUGUGUUGUUUGCUAUCAGCCAGUUUCAGUCUAAGGUUUUGAGUAAUGCUUUGAAAAACAUGUAACACAUCUAGAGUCUGAAAUGUCUUGGAGAAGAUAUUCAUUCAGUUUCAUUAUGUCAACUAUUCAUACAACUUUGGUUAAUGCACUCUUGUUCUCUAUAUCUUUGAAAAUGGAGACUGAUUAAAGCAGUAUUCCCCAAACUCUAGUGUUCCACUUGUUUUGUACUUCAGCCCCCAGAAUCCCUGAUCAUUGACAAAGAAAACUGAGGCUUCUGAAGGCUGAAGUCCAAAACACCUUGAGGACUAAAGUUUGGGAAUCACUGGAUUACAUGAUGCAUUUCUCUGCAAUACCAGGUGUGAGUUAUAUGGAAAUGGACUAAAGAAAUGUCAUAGCUCUUUUCCCCUUAUGUAAUCAUGGAGGCAUAUCCUUCUAUAAUCUGUUUUUAUUUUUUUGUCCUGUCAGAAGCGACUUGAGAACAUACUGCAAGUCGCUUCUGGUGUGAGAGAAUUGCCUGUCUACAGAGAUCUUGCCCAGGGGAUGACCGGAUGUGUUAGCUGGGAGGCUUCUCUCAGGUCCUUGCAAGCUAGAGCUGACAGACGGGAACUCGCCCCUUCUCAUGGAUUCAAACCGUCAACCUUCAGGUCAGCAGUUCACCCAGCACAAGGAUUUAACUCAUUGCACCACCACGGCUCACUCUAUAAUCUGUGAUCAUGGGAAAGAAAGAUAGUCUUCAGCAAUUACUGCCACUGGAGCUAUUCCUGCAGAUGCUCUUGUAUGCACAGUGUAAGCAGCUUGCUUGUGUAUAGCAUUUAUAGUAUAGAAUUCAGAAUGAUUCUGCCAAGGUAUCUUGAAUAUCAUCUUUUUUUACAGCUAGAUAACAUUGAAGAUUAGGUUUUGAUCAUGUUUUUCAUCCAUUAACACUUUUUGUAGUUUUUGUAGUGAUAUCAGCAAGGAAUGCUUUAUUUUCUACUUUAUCUAACAUGAAUGUUGCAGAGAUGCAACAUUGUAGUUCAGACCCGAAAACAAUGCCAACUGUUGGUUGUUUCCUAUGAAUAUUUUCAAAAAACUCAUCCUGACUGUAUAUUUGUGCACGUUUGAACAGCCACUACAUCCAGCUAUCCAGCAUUAAUGCACUACUAUAUAUUCAUUAUAAUUUGGGCAGUCUUAAGAGAUUAAUUGCAUCAAUGGCUGAAGUACUGUAAAAUUAAACAUGUAGUUGACUGUUCUACUGUAGCAUUGUUCUGUUCUUCAUUGGCCUGUACCCUGAAGCUCUUUAUCUCCACAUUUGAAGAUGGACCUUGACCAACUGGAUCAUAGUCAGAGAAAGGCAACAGGGUAUGCACAGUAAAUUUAGUCUGAAGAAGAUUAACAGAAGACACGAUAGCAGUCUUCAAUGAUCUAAGGAUGUUCAGCAGAAACUAUUUCUUCAAGAGGGGAGAAAUAAAACUAGCAGAUAAAUUUCAGCUACACAUUAAAAGAAAGCUUAAACUGUAAGAACUGCUUGGCAGUGUUUGGGGAGGUGAUGGUAUAUCCUGCAGUGAUUGAGUGGCUAUCAGUCAGGGAUGUUACGGUUACUCCCUGCAUUGCAGGUCCUGUAUUGAGCAGUCUCUUCUAUGACUCCAAAGUAAAGCAAACAUUUGGUAAGGGGAUGUCUGUGCUUACAUAACCCUUGCUGGCAUCCAGUGCUGUUACUGUUGUUAUUGGCCUGUAUUGUUUUUAAAAAGCAAAACAAAACUGUAAAUUCUGUGAAAACAAAGUAAGUUUUGGUUCUGCUUUCUUUCUUCAUCAUACACAAUCUAACAGCCACUAUGUUCCUGACUGUAGUUUUACUGACAAAGGUAGAAAGCAAUUGGAAAGCAAAAAUAGUCUCCUGAUUGUCCAUUGUGUCAACAAAUUGGUGCAGAUCUGCUCAGUGACCUGGAUUACCAGCUGGUGAUCUGGCACUUUGCAUCAGAGUGCUUUUUAGCACAAAUACAUAAGAUGUUAGGAGAUGCAACCAAACACUCUGGAACACGUACCCCUCCAUUUUUCCUUUUGCCCCCUAAUCACCCCAGGUAAGAUCAACCUCUGUCUUAAGAGCAAGACUUUUUGGAUUUGAAUUGAAGCAGGAGAUAAAAUGAACUCUUAACCUGACAUUCAUGGGUGUUUUUUCCACACAUUCUUCAUAUUUGAUAUAUAGUUUUGAUGUAUCAUUCUCUUAAGUAUUCCUCUGUCUUCUCUUUGUUUGACUGCUGAGAACAAAAACCCAAAGGAUUUUCACCUGUCAAUCAUUCACAUAUUUGUAAGGCAGUGCAAACAGUGCUUGAGAUGAAGACUAUUUUAUGUGGGUAUGUAUGUGCAAACACAGAAUUAUGAAUUAAUUUCACAGGACUCUGUCUUUAUUGUGUUACACAGAAUAUUUCAUCUUUAAUAUAUGAGAUCUCUUUUUUAAAUACAGAGCUCAUGUGCAAAAUAAUACUCCAGUAGGUGCAACACACUCAGAAAUGAAUACAUUCUCAGGAAUAUGUAAAUGUGCCUACCUCUUCUAGCCUCUUGCUCUAAGUUUAUCAAUAUACAAACUAUACAGUUAUUGCAGUCUGAUUUGCAGUUUUAAUUCUUGUUAUAAAUUGCACCUGGAAAAUGGAGUAUUAGGGCUCUUCUUCAAAGGGAGACCACACACAGAGAGACUAUCCUCCAACAACAGGUGAGAUACAGAAUUUGUUUUCCAUGGUUGCAAGAGCUGCAUUCAUAAUAAUUGUCUCCUCCUGGUUUGGGAUAGGAUUCUCCUUUUCCUCUUUCCUUCCAGUCUGCUCCACGGAGCAGUGUCCUCCCACAACUGUCUGUGCUGAAUUUUCAGGGGGCUUGGCAGGAAUAUCAAGAAGAAAGAUGUUGCACAUUCCUAAAUCCAAGACAUUGGAAUGAAAGCUAUGCAGAAUUAGAUCAUGUGCCUUGUCCUUCAGUGUUUUCUUACAGAGGUCUACACAGUCCCAUUUCACCAGGUAGGAUGAACCUAAGUGUGUCAUCCAUAUUACCCAUUCUGAAUUAAGACCUGGAUGCCAAUUUCCUUACUUUUUCAUUAUAUUUUACUGACUAAACAUGCCAGGUAUUUGAAAUGAAACACCUAGAUAUGGAGUUAUCAAUAUUUUUUUUGAUUUCUGAAAAUUCACCAAAGUUUUUAUUUGGAAGAAAAUAAAAAAAAGUUUUUAUUUGGAAGAUAUUUGUGAAAAAAUAUCAAUCUAUAAUUUGUGUUUCACCAAGAAAUGAUAGCUUUAUUUUGCUCAUCUCCUCACAAACUAUCCCUUGUCUCUUUAGAAUCUGUUCUAGUUUUCUAUUUAAACCAGGGGAUAGUGUAAAACUAGACUCACCUAGGGAUGUCCAGCAAAUUUGGCCCCAUUUUAUUUAUGAAAUUACUAUAAAUCCAGGAUGAAGUUGUAUAAUACUUAGUGCUUCCCUGAGACCUCCAUUGCAUCUAGAGAACUCUAGGGCUGUGAAGUAUUAGGCAUUUAACAGAAUUUUCUCUCUGAAUUGAUUAGAAAUUGGAUUUAAUUGUAGUUACCUUUCCAUGUCUUUCUCCCAUGAGGCAGAGCCAAAUCUACCUUACAGUUCUAGCUGAACAUAAACCUGGCUUUAAUAAUUAUUUUGCACUUAUUCUUCUACAAAAGACAUUUGAAAAGUUCAGUUUUAUUCCUUGAAGAACAGUUUUAGUUGUUAUAUUGAUUGCCAGCAAUCAGGUGAUGGUUACAAUAUAAGAAUCUCAGCAUAACAUACUAUUGAGGGUUUUUAAAAACCAAAAAACCAAAAAAAACCCAAAAACAACAACCAAACAACACUGUUCCACUGUUAAAUUAAAUAUGAUUACAGUAUAUACUCAUAGAUUAGUCAAUAACAUGUAUAAAGUAAGCACUGAAUUUUGGGUCAAAAUUAGUCAUUUGCAAUGACAUGACUCAUGGAUAAGUCAAAAGCCAUUCUAUAGAGAGUCGAAAGAUACUUGGGGCCAGCUGCUGCUGUAUACUGCCAUCACUUCCCCACCCAGGCAUUCAAAAAGGCCAGUAGUAGAGCCAUGGCAGAGAGAUUUAAGAAAAUUGGUGGUUCUUUUAGGUUUUUCCAAGAUAAACUAAGCUCUGGCCUUUUUGCCCCUCUACUCAGAGAAGGAGGUGCUUCUUUUUUUAUUUUAAUAAAUGUUAGGUUUCAGUACACCUAUGCAUAUGGUAAGUCAACCAAGUUUUUUUUUUUUUGGACCAAAAUGUCUAGAUUUAUACAUAAGAGGUACAGUAGAGUCUCACUUAUCCAAGCUAAAUGGGCUGGCAGAACCUUGGAUAAGCAAAUAUCUUGGAUAAUAACGAGGGAUUAAGGAAAAGCCUAUUAAACAUCAAAUUAGGUUAUGAUUUUACAAAUUAAGCACCAAAACAUCAUGUUAUACAACAAAUUUGACAGAAAAAAGUAGUUCAAUACGCAGUAAUGUUAUGUUGUAAUUACUGUAUUUACGAAUUUAGCACCAAAAUAUCAUGAUAUAUUGAAAACAUUGACUACAAAAAUGCCUUGGAUAAUCCAGAACCUUGGAUAAGCGAGUCUUGGAUAAGUGAGACUCUACUGUACUUUGAACUGUGAGUAGCCCAAAUAAAGUGGCGAAAGGACAACACUUAGUCCUGGGAGAACCUAAAAGAAACACCAGCCUCCUAUGUACAUUGUAUCACAUUAAUCUUUGAACAGUUUUGAAAGCUGAACCAUACAAAUCAGGGGUCCCUGAAUUUGAGUUUGAACAAAAAAAAAAGAUUAACUUGGCAUGCAUGGAAAACAGAAGUGAACUGUAUAGAAGCAACCAAUUCUCUCAGAAAUUUUAUUUUUCUGAUUCUUUUUACCAUAAUAAAGAUGAGAAACAUAUUGGUUUAUUAAUGAUGAAAGUUUGUACAAUUGCUCUUGAGGAUGAUGAUUUCCUAGUUCCUUCAGCAAGGAUAAACAUGAUCUGCCUCAGGAAGAGAUGUUUUCCCUUACAUCUUUCUUUAUUUUCAACUAAGGUUCUAGCAACCUGCUGUCCAACUUUCUUCUUGUGCCUUAGGAGAAAGGUUUUACUGUAAAGAAAGUCACAGAGUUCAGAUGAGAAAUAAUGAAGGUGGCUGACAGUGAUGAGAAGAGAGAAGAAAGCCCAAGUUUUGGAUGGUACAUUUCUAGUUCUUCAGUUCUACGGUAACCUUGCCCUGUGUUUUUCAAUGCAUUUUGGUUUUGUUUUUGUUUUUUGUAUUCUUUAUCAAAUUACCACUUCUAGGAUCUUGAUCUCAAAGAAGUUGUAGCAAACAAGUCAGGCUGUUUCUUCUUCUAUAGCAUUUAACUGCUUUCUGCCAAGCAACAAACUUCAUUUUCUUCACAAUUACUGUAUAUAUUUGAGUUUAAGCCAACCCGAAUAUAAGCUGAGGCACCUAAUUUUACUACAAAAAAACAGGAAAACUUACUGGCUUGAAUAAGUGGGAAAUGCAGCAGCUACUGGUAAAUUUCAAAAAUAAAAAUAAAAAUAGAUACCAUUAAAAUUACAUUAAUUGGGGCAUCAGUAAGUUAAACAUUUUGAAUAUUUACAUAAAACUGUAAUUUAAGAUAAUAAUAAUAAGACUUUAAUAAGAUAAGACUGACCCAUUCUGAUUACUUAUAUACUCAAGUAUAAGCUGACCCAAAUAUAAGCUGGCCAGGACCCUCAUUCGAUUGGCUUAUACUUGGGUUGAAAAAGGGCUGAAAGAUUUGGCUUAUACUUGGGUAUGUAUGGCACUUUAUAUAUUUUUGUUUGAAUGAUGCAUUCAUAAGUGGUUUUGGAGAAACCAGAUACACCACUAUGCAUGCAGUGGAACCAGAUGGCUCCCAAGUUGGGCGGUGAUGUGGGUCUAGGUUUGAGUCUGAAAUUUAAAGGCCUUGUCUGCAUUGAAGGGCACCUAGCUUUCAUCUUUACAAAAGUAUCUGUAUUGUAUUGUAUGGCACACGAACUUUCUAAAAUAUUGAAUGUUAUAAAUAACAGGUGAUUGAUAAAUCCAUAGGAUUCAGAAUCUCUAAGUGACUAGAUAGGUAUACAGAGGAUCUUCUACAGCAGGUAAUGUUAUUUGCUCUUGCUUUCUGUGUGAAUAGAAAAAGGAGGCUGUUUGUCAAUUCACAAAUGAUGCAUUGUAGAACCAUGCAAGCAGAUCACCAACUGAGUGUGGUGGAUAGCGUGGUACAAAUGGCUUAUUUCUCACCAUGGUGCCAGCUCAAAAUGCUGGCCCCAUUUUACUUGCUAAUGUUAAGACACUACUCAUAUUUUCUUCUGUCUUCCAAAAGAACCAAUAACCACUUGAUGCCAUUCUAAUAAAAGCCAAACCAAUCUAAUUAUCAUACUGUUGACAUGUAUCCAGCAAUAACUCAUAUCUUAAUAGUGGAAAAACCUGCCAACUGUAUCCCACAAUCAGCACAUUUUAUGCAGCCAGAUAAACUUAUGUUGUGCCCUAAUGUUUCAAUGAUGGAUGGGCUCUGUUCCGGGCAGUAAUUCUACUGAUAUUCUUAUUUGCCUCUUGCUUAAGGAGUUUAUAUUUGCUAUGAAGUUAGUAAAUAGAUGUUAAAAUGAAGAUGUUUCAAUAGCAAUUUAAAAUCAUUGUAAAGAGAAAUAAGGAACAUUUGGGAUAUUUCCAGCUACAAAUAAGAACAUUUGUUUUGCCAUCAGUGAAGACAGGAGUUUAGGAAAGAAAAAUGUUUGUACAGAUUGAGCACCCCUUAUCCUAAAGUGUUUUGGAUUUCAGAUUUGUAAAGGUUUUGGACUACCUGCUUUAUAGGCAUGUGUGAUCCAUGAAAAAAAUGGUUCAAUACUUGCUUCAAAAGUAGGCGCUGGUGCUUUGUUUCUAAAGUCAUUUCCUAAUUUUGAAGCAAAAAAUUCAAAACUUUCUGAAAAUUUAGAAUAUUUGUAUGUACCUCGUUAAUGGCGGAUGCGCAUGCACAUGAAGGAAAACAUUACCGUCAAUGGGGAAAAUUGAGGGGCUUCUUUCUCACUCAUUUUUUAGCUAUCCUAAUGAAAUUUGCUACAGUGGUAGAACACAUUUACUACUGUUAUCUCACCAAAUCUAAGAACGUUUGACUUAUCCUCAGAUUUUUGGCGAAUUUUCAAAGUUUUUAUAAAAAACAUUUUUAAUAAUAAAAAUUUGUUCCUGGUUUGAAAGUGUUUUUUUUUCCCCCUGUUUCAUUGGGUUGUCUUUACUUUGAAAGUCGUUGUUCUACUUCAGAAAUUUUGUUUUUGUGACUGAAACUUUGUUAAAUUGGUGGAGAGAGACUCAACAAACCAUAAUGUGCUAUUUUUAUAGGAUGAUGUCUUUUGUGCAAAGACAAAGUUUUGGCAGUGUAAUCAAAUUUUGCCAUGUUUUUAUGACAGAUGCAAUUAGGAAAUGACAUUCAUUAACCAGGAACAGAAAUCAUAGCACACCAUCAAAUCACUCCUGACAGAUGGCCAUCAGCCUCUGAAUAAGGAAAUCUGUUCUUGGUUUGACAGUGUUAUUUCCUGUUUCAUUGGGUUUUCUGGGGCUGAGAGUAUGUGACUUGCCCAAGAUCACCCAGUGGGUUUCCAUGACUGAGUGGGGAAUCAAGCCACAAUUGCAAUCCGACUUUCAAACCAGUACACUACACCAUGCUGUCUCAAAAUGGCCCAGUGCUAGCCAGGAGAGAAAACGCUCCAGGCUUGGUUUCUAUGUAAAAUGGGCUUUAAUGCCCCAAUGCAUCCAGGAGUGAAAUGGGCUCUAAUGCCCCAAUGCAUCCAGGAGUGAAAUUGGUUCUAAUGCCCCAUGCUAUUGCCAGGAGUGAAAUGGGAUCUAAUUCCCGAUGUUAUAUCCAGAAGUGAAAUGGGCUCUAAUGCCCCAAUGCUGUAUCCAGGUUUCUAUGGGGCUCUUAAGCCCAAUGCUAGCCAGUAGAUUGGUUGAAAAUGCUUUCUCAUAUAUCCGAAGGUUAUCUGAAGGUAUUCCGAGGAUGGGCUCAAAUGCUUCAAAUUGGAAGGUUAAUUCAGAAGCCCCAAACCACCUCAGAACCCCGUUCAGAACACAAAAUAGAUACGAUUUUAUUAUGAUUAACAAUUCUGAUUGAUUCGCCCAUGCCUACUACUUUAAUGUCGAGACACAGAGGCCUUAAAGAGCCACACACGAUUUUAGUCCAACAAAAGGUUUAUUAUAAAGCAACAAAAAUACACUCAGAGACACUUAACUUCAGUGUCUCUAGCCAAUUUCGGAUUUCGGAAUUCUGGAUAAGGGAUGCUUAACCUAUAUAUAAUGCAGACAGAUAAACAUAAAAGACAGUAGUCUCCAGAAAACAUGUAGUAUGAUGAUGAUUAACUGAUUAUGUGCUUCUUAGACUUACAUCUUGGCUCAGGUGUUAAAUCCUGUGAUAUGCUAUUGUUUACCACAAUGUGUUAUAUAACAUUUAGUGUGGAGUAGGCUAGCAAGUUGUUAAAGGCCACAUAUAUGGUAAAUACAUGACAAUAUGUCUGUGAGGGUCUACUUUCUGGUUGGGUUAGAAUUCCAUCCUGAGUCUGUGGCCAGGAAAGAAGGGACAGUGAAGGUCAAACUGUGCUAGUUGUGACUCAGGCUUAUUUUAUAUUGAAGCAUUAUUAGAUUUAGAUCAUAGUGAACACAUGUGCAAUUGAAGCUUUCUUCUCCUCCCACUGCAGCCUUCUGUGGUACCAAAACCCUAACUCCAAAGGACGUUGUAGUCUUCUGUGAUACAUUUUACAUUAUAUGUAAGAUUAUGAGAAGGAUUGUCACAGAUUCUGAUGGAAGCAGCAGGAUUUUAGGAAAUGCACCAUUUGAUCUUCGUUACAAUUUAAUGGACACUAGUGAGGACUAUAAGAUGGUAACUGAUAAGCAAAAUUUAUAAUGUAAAGCUUUUGUAAGAUCCAGAUGCAUUUUAAAGGCUUGAAUGACAAGAAAGUUAAAACAAAGAAUGCAAUUUAUCAGCACUAGCAAUGAAGUUACAAAAAUGCCAACUUAUGGACAAGUUCAUCUCUACUCUUUAAAAUUUUCUCAGAAUAAAAUUGGCAUACCCUUUCCCACCAUCCUCCACUAUUUAUGCGGUCUGAUUCUUCAGUACAUAUCAAGCUCUUGCACUUUGAGAGAAAAUCCAACAAAGUGCCAGCGAGCAUUAUGAAACAAGUUAAUUUCUGUUCAGUUUUUAAUGUUCUGUCUUCUUGUGUAAAUUGUGUGUGUGGACUCAUUUUAAAGCAAUUAUGUUUAGUAUUGCAAAUUUGUUGUGCUCAAUGAAUGAGUCACAAUGUGCAAUGUUCUGUGGGUUUUUGUAUGGUUAACCUUAUUCACAGUGUUGGGUUUGUUCUUGGUGUUUUGUUUUUUGGGGGGGACAAUCUUAGUAACCAUUUUCUCUUUAAACUAGUUGUGUAACUUCUUAGAAUUUUUAAAGCAAUUUUACACUUGUCUCUGCUUCAUUUUUCCAAUUUUUAUGGCCACUAGGGCAUCUUUUCACAUGACACACUGGCUGCCCCCCCCCCCCUUACCAUGUUGCAUCAUGCCACAUUGACUGCCGCAAAUUUCUACAUCACAGCUAGUGAUAUAGGUAUGUUUCCUGCAAUUUUCUCUCUUUUUAGCACUAUUUUCGUACUUCCCAUCUCAUGGGAAGGAAGAGGGUGGGCACGCAGCUCACAGGGCAACUCGAGUCAGCCCACGUCCUCCCUCUAGCCCACAAAAUGUUACUGGGGAGAGGGUGGAGGUGGCAUAGUGUAAUGUGGUUCUAAAUCACUUACUGUAAUUUAUUGAUGUUUGUCUCUUUCUCCCCUCAUCUAUUUUUCCCCUUCUUUACAUUUAUCUAUGUUUCAGGACUAUAUUCUUCAGAUGCUUGUGCUCCAAAGUUCUCAAGCUCCUUUACAAUCUUCAAAUACUUAGCUAUGGCUAAUCUCUUUGCUUCUUCCCUCUUCCUUUCUUUUCAAGAUCUUAAACCUUCAAAUACUGAGGUUAUGAAGGUCAUGUUCUCUGUUUAAAAUUAGCAGUUGCCAGUUGUUUCUGCAUUUUGAAUAAACAGAAAGGAAUUUAGACAGUUCAGUUUAGAUGGAAUCCACAGUAGGGAUUUCUCAAAAAGACUCCAUGUCAAAUACUAUAAACAUCUAAUAUUAAUUAUAGAUGUUUUAAUAUUAAUUAUAGUUCACACCUCUACUUGCCACUGAAUUUCAAACAAAGUUCUGAUGAAAGAAAACAAUAGGAAUGUCUCACAAAAGUAUAUUUCUAAGAAAAGUUCUCCUCCUCCCUGGUUGUAAUCAAACUUGUAAUCCGACUUCUGACAUUAAUAACAUGCACAAACCCAGCUUCUUUCCAUAUUAUGUGUAUAAAUUGAAAUAAGAAUAUAAGAGCCUUGCCAUGUCAUGUCUAUGUUCACUACAACCAGCAGUGUAGUGAACAUUUCAAGUGCCCACAGCAGUACAUAAAGGCAAUGACUUCUGACCUUUCUUUCAGUGCUCCCAGAUAAAUACCAGAUAAAUACCUGGUGUCACAGUGUGUUAAAGUGCUGAGCUGCUGAACUUGUGGACCAAAAGGUCCCAGGUUCAAAUCCCGGGAGUGGAAUGAGCCCCCGCUGUUAGCCCCAGCUCCUGCCAACCUAGCAGUUCGAAAACAUGCCAAUGUGAGUAGAUCAAUAGGUACCGCUCCGGUGGGAAGGUAAUGGCACUCCAUGCAGUCAUGCUGGAAACCUUUACCUUUACCUUAAACUUGGAUGUGGACACUUAUUGGUCAUCCAUAGCCCCAGAAGAUGUAGCAUUUGAUGGGUAUUAGUACACAUUUAGACAAAGUUUAUGAAUUGCAACCGUAAAAUACUUUGUUUUUUUCAUUCCUAUCUUGCUAGCAGUGAUUCAUAGUUUCAAAUGAAUAAACAAAAUUGGAAACAGAAUAAAAUAUAAGGAAAUACUGAAUUAAAUGGAACAUUUUAUACACCAUUCUAAAAGUCCACGACAAGUUUAUUUGAAGCAAAUUUUACCCAUCCCAGCCAUGCUGGUAAAAUAUAUCCCUGGAGAAGGCAUGUAAAGAUCAAGCUCCCUGAAUUCAGAAUGGCCUCCAUUCAAAUUUACAAUUGGGUCCUCUGUGCCCACAGAUUCUGAAUCCAUGGAUUCAACCACCCACAGCUUGAAAAUAUUUCUGGCCUGCACUCCCAAUCCAAAUAAUAAACCUUGAUUUCCUUCUUUUUAUAUAAGGGACACCAUUGCAUGGCACCAUAGUAUACAAAAGGAUUUAGGCAUCCAUGGAUUUUGGUAUCUUGGGUAGGGAUGGGGAGCAGCCGAUACCAAGGGUCCACUGUACCUCUUUAUCAGCACAAGCAUAUAGCUCUCUUUAUGUGGCUCACACGCCUCAGAAUAUGAGAUUUCAAGGUACUAACUAAAUCUAUGCAACAUAUUUAGGGGUACAUGGUUAUCCACAAAUACUUUAAACCAAACAUUGAGUUUUUAAAAACUCAGGGCUCUGAAAACAUGUUCAUCUGAGGAAAGUAAAAACUUAAAUCUCUUUGAAGAUAUUUUUCUCCACCUUUGAAGUGAACUCUGAUUUUUAAAUGUACAUCCAAGUUAACAUCUGGUGAAUGUUAAAAAUUAAAGAAGCAGUCCAUGGAACCAGUGAAAGAAAGUACUAUUGUCUGUUGUAGUAGAGGUUAUUUCUGCAAUGCCAUUAUGACAUCCAAUCUUAAAUCAUACUCUACUGAAAUGAAGGAUGAUCAGCAAAUUGAUUCCUGUUUUGACUUAGUUACUUAAUUGAGCCUGGGUUCCUUGUAUAAUCUGGUUUGCCCCAAUUUUGAAUAUCAACCUUUAGAUAGCUAUAUGUGGCAGCAUCACUGCAAAUGUAGAAGGCAAAAAAGGAAUUGAUUAAUUGGUGUCCAGAUAACUGUGUUUUUUAAGGGGGGAAUUAAUUGCAUCUCAUAAAUGUAUACUUGCUUUCAGAUAUUUUUAAUUCACUAGCAUUUUGGUUGUGAACAAUACAUGCCAUUUAUCUUUCUAGUAUAGAAGCGGUGGGAAUAAUAUGGACUCAAGCCAUGGUGAAAUUUGGUCAUACUUGUGCUUUUCUGUUGAGAGUACUCACUGUGUCCCUGUGUCCCUUGGCUAGGAAGAGUUUAAGUAAAUGUCAUUUCCUCCCUGCCAAUCUCUCUCCCUCUUUGUAGGUCCAUUAAUCAGCAGGAAUUAGGUUUCUGCAGAACCACAACUUUGACAGCUGGUUCACUAUUAUUUUCCAUUCAGCAAGUUCUCAUUCAUUCAUUCAUUCAUUCAUUGAUGAUUGGUACUCAGCUUGAGUCCCUUGGCAUCCCUUGAGACCUUCACCAUGUCUCCAGAAUGGUAGUUUAGUAUACAAUGUGUUGAUUUUUUUUUCUGUAGACCUACAGGCUUCUGGUGGAAGCCAUAAGGGAAUAAGAGGAAGAAUUAGCCUAUGUGUUUGUGUGGCUUUGCUCCAGUAAAUAUUUUGAUGCAUCUGCUGCCAGCUAUGGUCUGAGGGAAUCUACCUAGCAUUUAAAUUUUGAUGGGGAGCUGUUUUGAAUAAUAAGAGUGCAGCCGGCUGUGAGUCAGUGCAUGUGUGUUGACUGAAGGAAGAAAAAAAAUCUCAAAGCUUAAUGCUUGCUGAACGCUGAGCUGCAGUGCUUUCCUUUGCCACCUCCUCUUCUUUCUAGUAGAUAUUCCACACAGAUUUUUCCAUUCUUCCUCUUGUUCAUUGGGGUGGGGGAGGGAGGAACAGCAACAAAAAAGAAUAAUAGCCCCUCACCCAAGUAGUAGUUGCAAUGGGUGCUGUCAUGGGCACGUUCUCUUCUCUGCAAACCAAACAAAGAAGACCCUCGAGAGGUAAGUCAGGACUAUUGGGCAAUUUGGUGAAAUGUACGGUUUGGGGAUAUAAGGAACCAAAGUAAGCCUUCUUCAAGCUGUCGCAGCCUGUUACCGAGGUUAGAUUGUCAUCUAAAAGUUUGCAUUGCCCUCCAGCUAGAAGACCAGAAUGCAGAGGACCCUUUUGCCAAAUUAACAAUAGCUGCAGCAGUGCUGUAUUAGCCCUACUGAAUUCAGUGGGCUAUUGGAACAGAGGUUUGCCAUCCUCAGAUUUUAAGUGUAUUACCUAGAACAGAGAUGGGAAAAAUACAUCUCUGGGGCCACAUGCACCUCCACAAAGGUACUUUUAAGCCCUUUGGCUUAUCCAAAAACCUUAGGACUGUCUUUUUCUGCCACCUUUUAAUAUAAAACAUUUUUUUUAAAAAAAACAACAACCCAUAAGUGGCCUUCCAGCAACUUCCAGUUCAGGGAUGAGUGUGGCAGUCCUAAGAUGAUCUCAAGGCCCAAAAAUGUCCUCUGAACAUGUAGAAGCAGCUGCCCAUUCCUGAUCUAGAAGGUCAGCAUCAAAUGCCAUUUUUAUUUUUACUAUUAAAGGCAAUUUCUAUACCACUUUUCAUUCCCUAAACCUCCAAGUAGGCUACUGUAUUAAUGGCACUGAGUCUCUAAUUCCACUUUAUUUCUCUCUAGUAAAGAUGUGCAACACACUCAUCAGUGACUCUGUUGGGCACUCUGAUUCCAACUUCCCAGUAAUUAUUUUCCUUUCCAUAUCUUUCUAAGAGAUCCAGUCCUUCCCCUGAGGCCAGGGCAAGUAAACAGGUCAUACACUGAAAGGCUUACUUUGUGGCCGACUUGACAGGGAAAUCAUCAGACCAAAGAACAUUGCUGCUGUGGCCAACCAUUUUAUGACUGCUUUGGGACAGGCAUGCUGGGCUUCCUACAUGACUCUCGCUGCUCUGAACUACUCUUGCUAGCAAGAAGCACAUUCUCUCAUUCGUCUUGGCAUUGAAAUCAAGGCCCUUUGAUCAACUGUCUUUCAUUGUUUUUGAUUCCAUGGCUCUAAAUCUUCUUUUAUUUCAGGGUUUUCCUCCUUUUGUUUCUCUCUUUGGUAUGAUUUGAUAUUGUAUGGAUACAGUUUGCAUCUUAAUAGGUCAUAGAGAAUGAGCUCUCUGCAGGUGGUCAGCCAGAAAUUCUGGGAGUUUCUACAGGAAACAUCACCUCUUCCUUCUAAUAAUGUAACCAUGUCUUGUUUCUGCUUACUUACAUUUUUUGUUUUUAAUCUAGAAUACUAUUAACAUAUAUGCUUGGUUUAUUCAGCAGUGCUUCCUAAAAAACAAACAAACAAAGUGUUGGAUUUAGGGUGUUGUUUUGGUUUGUUCCUUUCCUCCAGGUUUGGGCUGCUGUUAUGACUCAAUCUGUCUAUAUUUCUUAUCAAAGCACCUUCCACAAAUUACAUAAAGAGAUGUCACAUACCAGUACUUCCUUUGCACUGCUGGCAUACAUUUCGUGUGUUUUUAAAAACAGUGCAGUGUAUUACUAUUCAACAUGCUGAGAAACAAGUCCCAACAAUUUCAUUGAACCUUAUCCUCAGAUAAAGUUUCUAGUUAUGGAAAUGUAUUUUGUGAGGCACCACUGCACACAUAUUCAAUAAGCUAUCAAUACCUGUCUGGCAAAAAAACUCUUAUUUGUCUGGCUGUGUGCAGAUAAGUGAAAAAUGUUGCCCAGGAGUAGCUACAUUUCCCUGUUGGAAAUUAUAAUGUGAGGAAUGUUCUAUAUGUCUGUAUGUCUGGGCAGUAUGAUAGUUUAAGGAUACUUACUGUACCUCACAGGGUGAUGAAAAUGAUCAUGCACCAAAGGAAACUUCCUGUUUCAAAUUUCCAGCCAAUCCACAUCAUACAUCUGUUAAACUACAGAAAUAUUUCUCAUUAUAAAUAUGUAUCUAGGAGCCUAUUUUGAUUUGUUGGUUCCCCCCAAAUAGGAAGGCUGUUGUAAUGGCUCAGAUAGGGUCAACUGCUCUGCAGUUCAUUGGGCUGUAUAAUAUACAUGCAGAUAUAUUUUAGAGAUAAUUUGAGACUAAACACUAGAAUAGUUGAUGCAUUUAGAUGAAUGCCUGCAAUUCAGAAUGUAUUACUACGCACACUGAUGCUCAAGGAUAGUGAGUGUAGUAAUACAUUUCGAACUGUAGGGCUUUCAUCUUGAUAGAAUCCAUAGCCAUUCCGUGAAGGAGAAUUGAAAAAUAGAGCCAGCCAUGUAGAUCAUAUCAACAAAUACGUUUCUGAUCUCCAUGAAUAAGAUAUUUUGUAAAGCUAAUAUAUCUUAACUGCCUAUUUGAGGCCAGGCAAACCAAAAUACUUUGGAUAAUAACAGGGAUAGUGCAGCAACAUUGAUGGUUUCUUAGAAAACACAUUUUCCUACAGUUGCUAUGAAUAUGGCCACAAAACUCAGGUCCCUUCUGCACAGCUGUAUAAAAUCCAUAUUGAACUGGGUUAUAUGGCAGUGUGGACUCAGAUAACCCAGUUCAAAGCAGUGGAUUAUCUGCCUUGAUAUUCUGGGUUAUAUGGCUGUGUGGAAGGGCCUUCAGAGGAAACAGAGAAGUAAUAAAUAAAGUCAUUAUUUCUCCAGAUUAAAAAAAAAAUCCUUGUUCGCCAACUCUACACUAUCCUAUAGCCCCAAGAACAGGCAAGUUAUUUUAGACAGAUAGAAACCAUUUCUGCUUUAGUAUUGGUCAGAAGAUUACCUUCUGAACCCAUCUUCAGAGAGCAAAAUGUCUUUAGUCAUUGCUGGAGCUCAAUGUCACUUUGUCUAAUUCGGCACGAGGACAAAGAAAGCCUUUUAGUGGUGGAUCAAUGUCCCCACUUCUCUUACAGCCCUUCUAAACAGCCAUAUAACCCAGAAUAUCAAGGCAGAUAAUCCACAAUAUCUGCUUUUAACUGGAUUAUGUGAGUCCACACUGCCAUAUAAUCUAGUUCAAUGUGGGUUUUAUGUAGCUGUGUGGAAGGGGCCUUACAUUCAAAUACAACUUGAUUGGUACCUAUGUUUGACUUUGCUGUGUUUGCAGACAAUAUCACAGAUAAUAGCAAAGCAAAAACCUAUGUUUUUCUGCUUCACUGAACAAGAAGGACAUACAUCCUUCCCCUUCCACACAGCUGAAUAAAAUCCCAGGUUAUCUGCUUUGAACUGGAAUAUAUGGUAGUGUAAACUCAGAUCACCCAGUUCAAAGCAGAUGUUUUGAGGUUUUCUGCCUUGAUAUUCUAGGUUAUAUGCCUGUGUGGAAGGGCCCUGAGUGAUUACCAGGGAGAACAGCUGCUUAGAAUCCUUGCAUGUAUGAGCCCUUCCACACAACCUUAUAUCCCAGAAUAUCAAGGUAGGAAAUCCCACAACAUCUGCUUUGAACUGGUGCCCCUUCCACACAGCUGAAUAAAAUCCCACAUUUUCUGCUUUGAAGUGGAAUAUAUGGCAGUGUGGACUCAAAUAACCCAGUUCAAAACAGAUAUUGUGUGUAUUUCUGCCUUGAUAUUUUGGGUUAUGUGACUGUGUGGAAGGGUCCUGGGUUAUUUGAGUCCUCCUCACUCAGAUAAUGUGUGAUUUUCUUUCUUGCUAUUCUGGGAUAUAAGGCUGUGUGGAAGUGCCCUAUGUGUGGGAGUGGUUUAUUAUUAGUAUGUUAGGAAGAAAGUCAAGUUUAUUAUCAGUAAGUUAGGAAGGAGCAGGAAGAAAAAAACACAUUCUCUUACCAAUCCUAACUGGUUCCUCUAUAAGCUAAGCCACAUUCCAGGAGUUGUAGUCUUGUUAGAACCAAAAUCAAAAUGCAGUGAGAGCCUCCCAACAGAAUGUAGUCAGGAAGUGUUCUGUUUCCACCAAGCAGCCAGAGUUCCUAUGUGGCUUGUAAUUCUAUACAUUGUAAAAUGAAGGCUACCAGCUUUGUCUCACUUCACAGCUGUAUUUUUACAGCAUCUCAGAUGGGUACUUCUUGAGAUCUUUAUUGCAGCUUUAUGCUGUGCCUCAGGAGAAGGAUGUGGACCAGAAGCCUCAGUUUAUGCCUCUCUCCUGGGCGGAGUGAUUUUUCCUCUUCCUCCUCCUGCUCAGAUCUCAAUCUAGUCUACCAAAGUGAAGAACAACUCACUGGGUAAGUCUGAUUCUUCAUCAGGAAAAGAGUCCUUGAGGAAGGAGUCUGACACUGGCAACCGCCUUCUCACUUCUGGGAAGCUAUUACUUCCAUUAAACCAUUGCACAAGCUGUGUAGUGACAUGUGAAUGAUACUGGGACAUCGCCUUUGCCCUAGAGACUUUCAUUCGCUACUGAGAUGUACCUACCCAGGUGUGUUGUGUAGUUCAGUAAAAAUACUGCUCCAGGAAAUACUGGUUACUUCCUAGACAAUGUCCAAAAAUAUAUUAACUUUGCAUAAUUUUGGUUAGCCCAACCUAAGUCACCAAAGUGAUUCUAAACAUUGUAAUGUAUCCACAUCAAGGAACCUUUGGCUCUCCCAGUGUUUCAUACUAUAGUUUCAAUAUUUUAUAUUGUAGACCAUAUUAGCUAUGGCUUCAUCUCUAGCUAUUUGCUAAAUAUCACUGAAAUAUGCAUUUACAAGGUGACAUUUUAGAUGCCUAGAAGAGCCUCCAGUGGCUCUGUGUUAAAGCACUGAGCUGCUGAACUUGCAGACCGAAAGGUCCCAGGUUCAAAUCUGGGGAAGCGGAGUGAGCACCUGCUGUUAGCUCCAGUUUCUACCAACCUAGCAGUUUGAAAACAUGCAAAUGUGAGUAGAUCAAUAGGUACCACUCCGGCAGGAGGGACCGGCGUUCCAUGUAGUCAUGCCAGCCACAUGACCUUGGAGGUGUCUAUGGACAACGCUGGCUAUUCGGCUUAGAAAUGGAGAUGAGCACCAACCCCCAGAGUCGGACACGACUGGACUUAAUGUUGGGGAAACCUUUACCUUUACUUAGAAGAACCCUCCUCGGUUUGGCUGAAUAGGAAGCAUCAACAUCUGUCAUCUUUUUGAAGCUGUACAAGUAGGCAACCAUAACUGUAUCUCAUAUCAGCAAAUUCCAUUGUUUAAAUAGGAUAUCUCUGGUUGGAGGAAAUAUUCCCUUUUAUCUAGCUUGAAUCUCCCUACAGUUUCACUGAAUCAUUCCAAGUUUGAGCAUUAUGAUACACACAGAGAAUAAAGCUUAUCACUAUGUAUUUUUAUAUACACUUCCAGCCAGGCCCAUAGCCAGGAUUUUGAUUCGGGGGUUGCUGGGAUUUUACUUCAGUUUGGGGGGGGGGGCUGAGUCUGGGUGGGAGAGGAUCUACCCUAGCAAACCUUUUGUAUCGUUAUCCCAAUACCCCUAUGCAUAUGGGAUACAUUGAGCAUGGUGAUCAGAUCAUGAUAUGAAUAAACAUAACUGUUUAAAUAAUAAAUUUAAGGUCUUUUUGCAGACCACUCUGAGAAUUUCAGAGGGGGGGAGCUGAAGCCCCUCAAGCCCCCCCCCCCCCCCCGGCUACAUGCCGGCCUCCAGCAUGUCUCUGCUGACCUUUCUUUAUUUCUAUAUUAAAUAGUCCCAGAGGGAAGUUACUCCAGUUCCUUGAUGAUUUAUGCAUUUUUCCAGCUCUCCCAUGUCUUUUUCUAAGGGUAUUUCUACACAGCUGAAUAAAAUUCCACAUUAUCUGAUUUGAACUGGAAUAUAUGGCAGUGUGGUCUCAGAUAACACAGUUAAAAGCAGAUAGUGUAGGAUUUUCUGCCUUGAUAUUCUGGUAUUUAGGGCUAUAUGGAAGAGCUCUCAGUGUGGUGACCAGAACUAUGCACAGUGUCAUAGAAGUGAUUAUACUAUGGAUUUGUACAAAGGCCAUGCGAUAUUGACAAUUUUGUUUGAUUUUUAUUCCUUUUCUAAUUAUGCCCAUUGUGGAACACAACUUUUCACAAAAGCUGUGCUUUUAAUCAGUAGUUUCACUGAGUGACCCAACACAGCCCCAACAUUUCUUUAUUUCAUUACAAUUAAUUUGUAGUUAGCAGACAACAAAUCUUGAUCUUCUGCUUUUGUCAUUACUACUUGCUUCAGUUUUCCUUCCUGGAAACAUCAGUCUGAGGGUGCUUCCACAUAGCCAUAUAGCCCAGAAUAUCUAGGCAGAUAAUCCACAAUAUCUGCUUUGAACUUUUUCUCUGAAUCCAUACUGCCAUUUAAUCCAGUUCAAUAUUUUGUAUUUUAUACAGCUGUGUAGAAGGAGACAGAGAAUAGAUAUUUGAUCCAUCUAUAUGUGAUCAGUUAAGAUAGAUGGGAAAAAAUCCAUUCAGCUUUUCUGCAAUAUCCUUAAGCCCCAUUAUACUCCUUUAAUUCAAUUUCCAUCCAAUAGCACUAUGGCCUCCUUAGCUGUUAUCCUCACUUGAUACUCUUAAAUAAUUAUUGGUGGUCUUAAUGCUUCUGGAGUAGUUUCAUAUCCUUCUGGAUUUGCAAUUUAUACAUACCUUUCUCAAUCAGAUUUCUUUUCCCCACAGAUGUACAGAAAUAUAUGCCUUUUGGUGUGUUUUCCCCCAAUAUUUCUCCAUAGCUCUUCAGCCAAGUUAAUGGAAUUAAAUAGAUUUUGUCAAAAGCACAAGAUAAGAUUGCAAAGCGAUCAAGGCAUUUUUGUGAUUUGAGUUUGCAGGUCUGGGGGUGGUAUCUUUCUAAGAAAUGUGAUACCCUUGUUGAUAUGGCACUAAGUAGGAAAAAAGAAGCAAUUUUAAUGGGUUAUCAUUGAUAUGAUAGUUCCUUAGUUUUUUCAGUGACAGAAGAAUAGCAUAUUUCAUAUGCAAAUAGCUCCUCUUUCAGAACCAUAUCCAAUGUUCUCAGCAUUUGGAUUAGAUUAUAUGAAAAAUUAACUGAGGGUAUGAUAAUAAUGCCAUGGUGGAAAAAGUAGGAGGAAGCCAAAUAAAUCUAUAAUACACUCAAUUUAUCCAAGGAAUUGGUUUAAUGAAAAUGGGAUUUUUUAAAUUUUCUUAUGCAAUGCAGUUUCUUACUGUCUACUAAAAACUUUUGAGGUGAGCAAUAAGAAUGCAUUUCUCAUACUCCAAUAUUAACUACUAAGCAUGUGCGAUCUGUGUUUGACUGAUCCACAGAGUUUUGGCGAAUUUUCAAAGGUUUUUUUAAAAUAAAAAACAUUUUUAAUAAUAAAGAAAAUCUGUUCCUGGUUUGAAAGCAUUACUUCCUGUUUUACUGUGCGAUCUUUACUUUGAAAGUUUGACUUCGCCUCUCAGCAGGGCUUGGUUGCCCUGUGAAUUUUAGCUGCAGAGCUACAUCUGAAGACAUCCAAGGCUUAAGAAUCGAAGGAUCCUUCUGAUUCAAUUUCUUAAUAUUGGGGAGGGGGGGGAGCAAGCAGAUGGGUCGGAACCCCCUUCAGAAGUGCUAAAGUUCUAAAUUAGAUCCAGCUUUUUAGAACAUCUGCACCAAAAGCACAAGCCUAUUAACUGAGUAUUUUGAUUUUUGUAGACAUUCAGUAGUUAUUAUUUCCUUUGUUCCAUUUCCUGCCAUUUCAGAAUCAGUGUAAGUUCUGUGUCCAUUUGAUGAUCUUGCUUAUAUCUAGUUGAGUAUAAUUUCCUUAGUUUAAUUUAUUGUCACUACUUCUUAAAUGUUGGAACAUUGUAUAAAAGUUAAUGUUGGAACAGGAGAUUAGCCAAUGAAGCUCUUUUGGCAACAAAUGGUUAACAGUCAGUAUGCACAUGUAGAAAAUUAUUUAUCCAAAGACUACAUGAAAAUAUGUAUCCCAGUAGAAAUAAAAACCUGUAUAGUUUGGGCUCUUCAGCUCCUCAUGACAUCUUAGAAAUCAAUAUCUAAAACAUCUGUUAGUUUCAUGAAACAACUGGCUUGUUGUCUUUUCAUCUAGAAUUCCCAGUGAGCAGUUGUUUUGCUUCAAUUUCUGGCUAAAACAUUUCCAUUCAAGUGUAAGGAAACAAGCCUACAAAAUGCCAAAACCAGAAGUGUUUUUUCCCCUCUGCAAGGCAUCUCUAGUAUAGGAUAAAAAGCCUUGACUAAAAAAAAAUGUAAUAAAAAGUCCUAUAACAUUUUAUUGUCAGUAAAAAUGACACAUCAUAUCUUUGCAAAUAGAUACCUAUCUCUAGCCUUGUGACUGUGAAACACAAUUAUCACAUAUUAUUUCUGGUUCAAGGGAAAUGGCAGCCACAAGGAAAAUGAAGUUUGGAGUGGCACUGGAAUGAUCUCGCUGAAAAGGUUAAUAAAUGUCCCUCCCUAAACUGACAAUCCCAGAACUGAUCACUGGGAAUUCUAGGGUGAAACUGUGGAAGUUAAAGUGGAAUCAUAACAGUAUGGUCUGUAGUAUGAGUGGGCCUCUGACUUUUGCCUGGGCAUGUAGAGUUCUGUUUGCAAAACUGGAAGUUCACGUCAGACUGCUUAUUAGUCUUUAUAAGAGCACAAGUUAUUUUUGGACUACAACUCCCAAAUUCCUCAUGCUGCCUGAAGAAUUGUGGGGAUCUAAUCUGAAAAGUAUUUUUAAAGUCCUUGCAUUUUUCCUACUGUUCCUAAGUCCCAACUACUCACUUGGGGGCUUUAUGAUAUAAACUCCUAGCUUAUAAUGGAGAAUAUGAAUUUUCACAGUGUAUGAAAGCUGAGCUCCUUUGAAUAUCACAUUGUUCACAAAGUGUGCCAGUUUCCCCAGAAUGCCAUUAUAUUGUCUAUUAUAUUGGCAUAGGCAAACUAAGGCCCACAGGCCAGAUACAGCCCUCUGGGGGCUUAUGCCCCGCCCUCCAAAUUUUCCCAGUCCUCUGGGCAUAAGGAAGCAGCAGCCUGCCAUGUCCUUUUACUGAAAGCAUGAGGGAUGGAGGCAUGUGGCGGCUGGGAGUGUUGAACCCCAGGCCUGGAAAACCUUAUGACCACAGCACCACACAAGAUGCCAGAGUAUCAGCAAACAGUUUAUCUAAAAACACAUAAAAUAUAUGAAAAAGCAGGAAUAAGGGAAGAAAAGGUAUAUUCCAGGAAAGGGUCAGCAAUAGGUGAUAAUCAGGCAGUAAUCCAAAAGUCUCAUGCAAAUCCCAAGUUAAUAUAGCCAGAAAGUCACAAGUACAGCAUAAAUUCACAAGCAAAGGUAUAUUUAGCAAAAACUUGAGCAAGAGUACAAAACGAGAACAUAGAAAACUUCCAGGAUACUUUAAUCCAAUAACAAGGCUGGACUUGGAACAAGAACCAGCUAACACAGGCCUAGCUUCCUCACUUGAAUGCUAUAUUUCCUGAACUGAACUCUUAGGAAAACAACUUGCUAAUUAAUAGACAGCCAUGAAGUCAUUUCACUUCCCAUGAAAUCUCUCCUCAAUUUUCCCAUGUAGAUGCUCCAAUCAGAGUGGUCUAUUUUCUGCUGUAAUCUGUAAACAAAGACUUUUGUUGACCUCAGUAGCUCUAGGUGUUUUUCCCUAGGAGCCUUCAGUAUCACUUUGUUCUUCACCCAACUCUGUGUCUAAUGUUGCAGUUUCUGGCUCCUCUGGCUGACCUUGGAGCCUUGUACUUUUCCCCAGAGAGAACCAUCAUUUUCCUGACUUGAAUUUUCAUCACUUUGUGCCCCAGUGUCAGGGAUUCCUCUUCUUCAGAAGAGGAAGGGGAGCAGGAAAGUGUUCAUUAAUCUGAGGGUGAGUUGGAGUCUGAGGAGGAGACUUUGCUAGUACUCCAAGCCAUGAGAGUCCAAAGGAAACAGAGCAGUGACAUCAUUCAGAUAGAUUAGCUGCCAGAAAUGCAUCUCAGUAAUUAGGAACUGCCCUAGCAGCUGUGUGGAGACCCAGGGCUAUAAAAGCCGAAGCAGGUGCAGCCAGUUCUUGCUGGUAACAAACUGACUCUAAUGCCUUCACUCUCUGUGUGCCUGCUCCAAGUCUGCAUCUGGAUUUAUGCCUAUUUCUUUGUCUGAAGUAAGACUUCCUUGCUUUCUUUUGCAUUAUUUCACUGAGUAUACUGUACUUUAUGUUUGCUGAAGUAAAGCAGUUUUCAUUUACUUACCACAGUGUUUUAAGGCUGUUCUUGAAAGACAAAACAGGACAUCCAGGAAAACUCACAGGAAAUCCCACAAUUCUCUCUAAACUAUCAGUGAACCCAUCAGCCUCAGGCUGUACUACAACAAGGAGCCCUCUUGAAUGCUUUCAGCCCACUGUGUGCCUUCCUUGGGCUCUCCUCCCAGAAUAAGGACGGGGUGAGCGGUGCUGUCCUGAUACUGAGAGAAGCCCAGCCCAGGGAAGGAGGUAGGCGGAGAUCAAGGGAGCUCAAAAGCACCCUCACCCACGCCUGCCUCUCUUUUCUGCCAGCAUCAGGAGCGGCCAGGCCCUGUCCUGAUGCUGGCAGAAGGGAGAGGCAGGCAGGCAGGGGCUGAGGGCGUGCCAAAGCCUCCAAAACCUCCCUCCCAGCAUAAGGAUAAGGUGAGUAGCUCCAUCCUUAUGCUGGGAGGAAAGCCAGAGGGUAAUCUGCCCCUGACACUGUCCCUCCAGCCCUGACACUGCCCCUCCAGCCCCCUGCCCCUCCCCCUCCUGGGCUCACCCCACCCAACCCCAACUUCUCCCAGUCCUGCCUCCCCCCAGUCCCACCCCACCCAUGCCUGGUCUAACUGCUUUUUAGGUAAGAAACCAGAUGUUUGUUAAGACAAAUAUGGUAAGACAAAGGGAAGUUCUAAGUAAUUAGGAUGACAAAAUAGGGAGCCAUGUCUGUUCAGUGUUUCAUUUGAAAAAAAAAAGACAAGCUAAACAUUGUGCUUAGGACAGUUGAAGAGGAAACAUGAGAAAAAGCAAGCCUGAGAGUUCCAGGAUUGAUCAGAAUAAAAGUUAUGCAUAGAUUGAACAGAUGCAAGAACUUCCAGCAAUCUAAGCUAUCUCCUCCUCAUGCAAAGAUAAGUAUGCUUUUUCUCUUUAAAAUGUCAUUAAUUUUUAUUAUAUUUGUACAAUAUGUAGUAUCCCAGAACAACAAUAAUUCAUAAUUUAAAAUCUUGAAUUUAUCUCAUCCACUCUCCCCCUCCCGCAAUAAUGGAUUAAUAAAAAAUAAUUACUCAUCAAUCUUCUUGAUUAAUACAUUUCCUCUACACAAUUGUCUAUAUUAUAAAUAACAGUAAUUUUUAUUAAUAAGAGUCACAUCAUUCCCUAGUCAUUAAUUAAGAAUGUCACCUGAUCUUACAAUGGCUUAAAUUUGCUGUUGGUCUGACACAUAACUGAUAAAUGGUUUCCAUAUAACCUCAAACAUUCUCCUUCACCAUUUUGCUAGAACUGAAGCAAGACGUAUUCUUAAUCAAAUUGGAUUCAGAAGUAAGUGUCUGUGACAAUUCAGACCUAUAAUUAGAACUCAGGCCAGGAUCAUGGGCCAGAUCUUCCAUUGCACUCCACCAUACUCUUCCUUUAUUUUCUUUUCUAUUUUGCCAUGAUUCACCCAUUUCACAGACAGGAUACCUCCAGUCCAAAUCCAGCUAAGUUUUCCUCUUGUGCUAAAACAAUUCCUUCCCACUACCAAUAGUUGAAAAUUAAACAAAAAUUGUUACACUUUUUAAAAAGAGUAGUGUUUUGGCCUUUUUAAAAAAGGUGAGUAACCUUUUAAAAUAAGAUCCUUAGGUGAGAGUUUUCUCUGAGUCCCAUCAAUUUCAUAGGCACAUUUGCUGAGAAAGAGUCUUCUUGGUGGCAGCUCCCAGACUGUGUAACUCUCUGCCAGAGGAGACUAUCCUGAUCUCUUUCCUGAUCUCCUUCUACUGUCAAAUACUUUAUAGGUAUACCAAUAAGUCCCUACAUGGCUCAGGCCCUGCCUAUCUCCAUGAUCGCAUCUGACCCUAUGAACGGGUGUGGGCCUUGAAAUCAGCUGGGGAGGCCCUUCUUUUGCUCCCACCGCCAUCCCAAGCGCAUCUGGUGGGGACGAGGGUAGUGCCCUUCUCGGUAGUCCCCCCCCCCCGGCUCUGGAACGCUCUCCCUAAAGAGAUCAGGUUGGCCCCCACGUAGCUCAAUUUUCGAAAGGAAUUAAAAACUUGGCGGUUUCAGAAGGUCUUUGAGUCAGGUUAGUCUCAUUAGCCAAAUCGGACCCCACUCUGGUACACUACCCACCUCUUUGCCCUAAGAUAUGUGCAUACGUUUUUCUAUACCUAAUAUGGACCAUGUUAAUCUGCCCUGAUUAAUGAUUCCUGCGCCCUUGAGCGAAGGUUCUGACUGCGAUUGUUUAUUUUAUUUAUUGUUUAUUUUAACCAAAUUGUUUUUUUUUUAAAUAAUGUGUUUUUAUUGUUUUGCACUCAUUGGAAACUGCCCUGAGUCCAUUCGGGGAGAGAGAGUGGUAGACAAAUAAAGUUGUUGUUGUUGUUGUUAUGUCAGGCAAAUACUAUUUCGUUUAAACAAACAUUUGGUGACUUAGUGGCUGUGCCAAUGGGGUCAAUACCUUGGAUAGCUCCUUAAAAGUUCAGACUAAAGUCUAGAGCAGAUUCACUGACCCACUGAAAUGAAAGCCACUAGUUACACGGUAACAAGGCACGGCUUAUGGGCCAGUAGCACUAAGCUCUUUUCAUGUCAAGACCAGGUUAAGAGUUGUUUCCCUGCAUGGGGCUUAAUGUUACUCUUGCUUCUGACAGUCUGUAAAUCUAUCAUCUCCCACAGACAGAAAGGCCACAUUCAUGCACUAGUAAUUCUCUGUAGGUUGUUCUCUUUCAAACAUUCGUAUAAACAGCAUGAGACAAACCCAGUGAGAAUUCAGAUCUCUUAUGAAAAAGGAGUCACAUCUCAUGGCUGGAACUUUGUGAUAACUGAUCUCAGUGUCCUUCCUCCCUCAUUUGUAAAGUAAUCUCCAAUUCAUUUUUAAAAUCUACGUUCAUUUGAUGAUGUUUACUGUAAAUACAAGCCUCAAAAUAAUGAGGCAGGCCUAGAAUAUUUUGAGGAAAACAGACAGUUUCAAAGCAAGAUCUGCCAUAUAGCAUUGAUUCUUUAAUCUUUUUAACCUCCGUUUCCCACUCAUUUGUUUCUUGCAGGAGUUUGAGAGCUCUCAAAUUAUAUGGGAAGAGAAAAAAUCCCCUAAUGUUGAGGCACUCUGUUGACAAAACAGUUUCUGAGAUCCCCCCCCCCCGUAAAAUAUGUUAUUUAGUUUUGAUGUCUAUCUUCUCCUUUUGUCAUUUUGUCCUUUGGGAACUUGGGUGAGAUCUGUGUCUGCACCAAGUGUUCUGUAUGUACCAUUGACUGGGGUCUCAGGAUACAUUUUGUUCAAAAGAGCAGAAUAACUGUGAUCAAAUUGUAACGGCACACCAAGGGGCUAUUGACUGGAAAGUAGAAGAGAUAAUUCCCUAGUGAAUCACAUGAAUAGGGGAUUUGAUAGAUCUUUGUAGGUGAGUCUAUGAUCAUUCACUUGGUACCUGAUGUUUUCCCAGGAAUGUUGAUGAGAGACAGCAACACAACGUCAGCAACUACAAAAACAGAAAGGAGAAGAGGAGAUCAAAGAGAUAUGUGAACAGAAGAGAAAAUAUUCAGCUGGCUGACAUUUUUAAAAAGAAAUGCUCUUCUGGCCCAUAUUCUUUUGUAAUUGAUGUCGACAUGAUCUACAGCUAUAAAUGGAAAAUGAUGAUAAUUUUAUCUCAGGCAUGGAUGGAGAAUCCCCAGCUCUUAAGCUAAUCUUAACUGAAGUUAAGCUUCUCAAAUCUAAAAUGCUCACCAAAUGAAAUCAUGUGUCCUCUGCAGGAGUGAUCUGUCCCUCAUACCACUUAGUAGUGAGGAGGUGGAGAAGAGGAUCUCAGAAAAAGACCUAGAAAAAGGGACAGAUUCAUGUUGCUUUGGCAGUGGCUCCAUCCAUGGAUGCUUUCAACCCCAUCAAUUGCUAGUUUGUUAUGCUCGCAUAUAUGCAGAGAGAUCACCAAUAUGGGAAUGUGAUCUUUAAUGAACUAAAGGAGAAGUGGGCUCCUGUAUCCCUCCAAGUGUUGUACUGCAGAUCCCAGCAGCCCUAACUAUUAUACCAGUGGUGAAGAAAAGUGGGAGUGGGUUGCUGUGUGUCAGAACCCUGGCAGCAGAGCACCAAUAACCAUACGCAGAGGCCAAUCUCUAUCUAAUAUCUUUAUUAAAGAAAUAUAUAAAAGCAAUAAAAACAAGUGAAGAAUAUAGUUCAGAAGCAGACCUUUCAAAAGAGGUCAAAUAUAGUCCAAAAAUGUAUUGUCCAAUAAAUGAUAUUAGAGUUCAAAGUUUUAAUCCACUUGACCGAAACACACACUUUGCCAAGCAAUAGUGUGGGGAAAUAGCAGAGUCCAAGAGUUCAAUGAAGCUUGACAACAAGGCUGGAAUUAAACUUGAUUCUUGGCUAGAUUCGUAACUGGAAACAAAGGCAAAACAUGAGCGUGGAGCAGGGUCCGUGGUAAAACUGCAAGGCUAGGCAAGGCUCGAAAACUUGAUCCGAGAAGCAAGGAACUGGGGUACGAAGUCCACACACGAUCUCUCUCCUGAAGCUGAUCAAUUGACUCCGCAAAGAAUCCCUCGCGCCAACCACCUAUAUUGGGUCUCGUUUUCCCGCCAACAGAACUCUUUCCCUAGAGAACGAGAAGCGAAACCCAACUCUGUCCAGAUGUGUGACUCCUUAGAAUUUCCCAAGGGAAGCAAGCCUAAUCAGCUUGAUUUCUGGCAGCAAUGUGUAAACUCCUCCGUUGAGCUUCUCUGAUUCCCCUUUCUCUGGAAUAAGAUUCUUUUCUGGGAAACGGGGGGGGGGGGGGGGGGAGUUCUGCCCAAGGCCUGUUUGGCUGAAUUCUUGAGGGCAAACAUCAACAUCCUGCAGGUGAAGAGACUCCGGCUCUUGCUGAACCGGCGAAAACCCCAUGUUUUCCUCUUCGUCUGCCACAAUAGUACUAGGAACAGGACUACAAGGCCCAUGAGUCAUCACACUGUGGGUUUUUUGGGCUGUAUAGCCAUGUUCCAGUAGCAUUUUCGCCUGAUGUUUUGCCUGCAUCAAUGGUAAGCUUCCUUUGAGGAGGCUUGCCACAGAUGCAGGUGAAACAUCAGCAGAGAAUGCUACUGGAACAUGGCCAUAUAGCCCCAAAAACCCACAGCAACUUAAUGAUUCCGGUCAUGAAAGCCUUCAGCAACACAAAGGUGGGAGUUGUAGACUAAGGACCUCAUCACACGGAGGUCAAUAAGCCAGGUGGCAGUGAGGGAAUUUGCCACGCAACAUGGUGAAUCCGGUGAGCACCAGGGGGAAACCUUUGCCCCAUGCCCUGCAUCGCCUGCUACACCCCUUACCUUAUCCCAAUGGGGGGAAGCAUCGCUGUCUGGCUUCCCCCCCAUUCUUCUGAAUGAGAACACAGAAAACUCUUACGUCAUGUGAUAGCAUCUGGCAGGCUCCAUCGAUGGAGCAUCCUGGAAGUGUCCUAGGAUUUUUACCUUUCUCUGUGUGAUGAAGUGAUAUAAGCAUCUGGACGUCUACUCAGUUCCAAUCCCUGACAAAAUGUUGUCCAUCCCUGCUUUAGACUGUGAGUAAACUUCAUUUGCUGAUGAAUGUCAGUCAAGCUGUCAUUGAGGCUAUGCUAGGAAAAAACCCUUGUUAUAAUUAUCAACUGUAACCAGUAGACCUCUAAGGGCUUCACUCAUCAAUUGCCCUGCUCAGAUCCUGCAGGCUCAGGGCUACAGCUUUCUUGACUAAAUAUCGACUUCCUUUUUUUGUACUUCCUCCACUUUAGCACUUUACCAUCAUUUUCAAUAUGCGAUUUCAUUUCAUGUUGUGUCCAAAGUACAAUAACCUCAAUUUAGUCAUUUUGGCUUCCAGUGAGAUUUGUGUUUGAUCUUGGACCCAUUUGUUUUCUUUUUGACUGUGUGUUAUUCGUAGCACCCCAUUUCAAAUGAUUUGAUUUUUUUUUUCUUAUCAGCUUUCUUUACUGUCCAGUUAUCAUCACCAUACAUAAAAAUUGGAAAUACUAUGGCAUGCAUGAUUCUGAUUUUAAUAUUCUGUACAGUAUCCUUACACUUGAAGGUCUUCUCUUUUUUUCAAUGUACAUACAAGCUUGAAUGUAGACUCCUGAAAACAUUAAUUGAAAAGAUGCAUGAGCACAGAGUCUUUUUAUUUGCUGCUAUGGUGAAGAAAGCUUGAAUACACUGUUGUGAUUGAUAGGCUUGCUUGAAGGACAUUGAGAUUGAGUACUGAAGGGGAAGGCGAGAUUAUUUCUGUCAUGACAGGCAGAAAACAUAAACAGGAAUUUUAAAAAACGUAAUGGGCCAUGAAUCAUCUCUUUCUCGUGUCCUUUUGGACUUAUAGGUCAUAAUUAUUGUUGUUAUUGUGUGCCUUCAAGUCAUUUAUGACCCGUGGCAACCCUAAGAUGAACCUAUCACAGGGUUCCAUUGGUCAGAUUUGUUCAGAGGGGGGUUGCUAUUACCCUUUUUGAGGAUGGGAAGGCGUGACUGCUCAAAGUCAUCCAAUUAGUUUCCAUGGCUGAGAAGGGACUUGAACCCUGGUCUCUACAGCCAUGGUCUAAUACUCAAACUACUACAGCAUGCUGGCUGUCAGAUCAUUUUAUAUUAAAACCAUUAAUUUCCACACCCCAUCCAAAGGAACCCAAAACAGAUUGUAGUACCUUUCCUUCAUCCAGGUAUGCUGAUGGCCCACUCUUAUCUUAAUCUAUGAAUAUUAUCAAGUUAGUUUUUUGAGCUUUAUCAAAUUAGUUACUGGAUUCCUAGCAAGAUUUUAAGACCAUUAUAAAAUUAUUUUGUCCUCAGGGUAACCUUUUUCAGUUUUUCCCCAAGAAAUGCUAAAAUCUCUUAAUCAACAUGAUGAAAUUUUCACUUUGAAGGUUGAACAAUAAUGAGUUUAUUUCUCUUUUCCCAAGAACUUGCCCCUAUAUGAUUUUCAGUAUAUCUACAUAUGUUGGAUGAAUUAAUCCAAAAAGUAUUUUUUUUCUGGUUCUGGGUUGGGUAACAAACCUUAUAAAAGUCCUUGGGCAGAUUAAGGUGUGAACUUCUAAAAGGUCCUCAGAUUUGUAGCUUAAUGGGGUGCUAACAUUUUCUAAAAGAGAAUGCUAAAUGUCUCAUGAAAUCAUAAAUCUCAGGAUUCCAUGGAAUGGAAUCCUGGCUUUUGAAGUAGCAUCAAAGAGCCAUAAUUGUGCAGUGUAAGAGACCUCUAGACCUGUUACUACCACUGACCUAGUACUUCCACUGAAGUUUCUGGAGCUCAUCUGUAAGAGAUAAAUGAGGCCAUAGAGAAAGGUGCUUCUAAAGUUUUUUCCAGGAAGCCUGAAGUUGAAGAACACCCACAAAGGUUGGUUCUUGUCAAUGUUCUUCAACUUUUAUUAGGAGCUGGUUGGAUUAGUGAGGUUGGAAAUAUUUAAUGUGAUCAUCCUUGCAUCCCUGCUCAUUGUCAUUUCCUGUUCAACUGAUUCUCAUUAGAAAGUUCAACAGUUCCUGUGCAGUAAGUUAUUGUUGUUGUUGCUGUUGUUUGCCUUCAAGUAAUUCUCAACUUAUAGCAACCGUAAGAGCCUAUCAUUGGCUUUUGCAGAACACCUUUUCAUGUUUUAGCAGAAAGUAACUGACAGUACUAAGGAUUAGGGCUAUGCAAUCAAUGAAAAAAUGUUUCAAAGCUCAUUACAAAAUUAGGGGCCCUGGUAUUUUGUUUCUAAAGUGUUUCUAAAGUGUAGUUAGUGAACAUUUUGUUACUAUAACAAUAGUAACAAAAAUUUUUCACUUUUUCAUUAUAGUAAUUGUUCAAAGAUAAAAUGCUUUGGCCACAUAAUGAGAAGACAGGAAUACUUAGAGAAGAGAAUGAUGCUGGGGAAAAGGAAGAGAGGUCGACCAAGGGCAAGAUGGUAUCCUUGAAGUGACUGGCUUGAUCUUGAAGGAGUUGGGGGUGGCGACGGCCGACAGGGAGCUCUGGCAUGGUCUGGUCCAUGAGGUUAUGAAGAGGUGGAAGUGACUGAAUGAAUAAACAACAACAAAUUGUUCCAAUGGGGAAACUUCAGGGGCUCCUUUUUUGCUCAUAUUAUAAUUAUUGGGGUGAAACUUACUACAAUGGUAGAACCCAUUUACCGCUGUUAGCCCAUCAAGUUUCAGAAUGUUUCACUUAUCCACGGAUAUUUGGGGAAUUUUCAAAAUUUGUAUAAGCAACAUUUUUUUAAAAAAACUACAAGAGCAAUCUCCUUGAAUUUUCUAUAUAAUGACACAAGAUAACACGGGAUCAUUCUCCCCAACCUUCAGAAAAAAAUCAUACAUUUUCUGAUGUUAGGGAAUUUUUAAAAUUUUUGACAAAAAUGUUU